AUGUUUCUACUUCUAUCUGCCCCACUUGCUCGGAUUGCUUCGAGCAUCGACAGGCACAGAUGGUUGGGGCCUGAAAAUGGCACACUAGAUUGAGUAUCUUGCAAUGCAAGCAAAGCACUGGGGUAUAAGUAAAGAAAUGGCGAGCACCUUUUUGCAUCGGAGGUCUGUCAGGCAAUGGUAAGUUAUCUUUCUCCAUGGAACUGCCAAGUUGUGGUGAAUUGUCCUUUUCAGCAACAGACUCAUUAACUGAUCCUACUGUUUCAAUGGCCUGUGAGAAGAAACACACAUAAAUAAGCAUAGAAGGAAGGAGAAGUUUGAAAAUACAGAUGAUCUGGAAGUUACCAAGCUCUCUUUGUCUGUGUCAACAAACUGCUUUGUCUUUAAAAAGAAUGCACUGAGAUUUUGCACUAACAUACUUGAACAGCUUCAGAGAUUCCAGUAAUCACUCUAAUGACAUCUACGCAAGCAAAGAAGAGUUAUUAUAAAAUCACCACCAAACAAACGAGAGAAAAGAUGAUUAGUCACAAAAUCACUUGUAAAGCGUUCAGGCAUAUCUGUAGGCCUAGGGAGCUGAGCUAUUGGAGUCAAUGCAUACGUACAGAAGGGGAACUCUGCUUCCAUUCCAGUUCUCUCCACAAGUUCAGUGCGCUUUAUAAACUUAAUCAUUAAAUGACCUUCCACUGGUCUAAAAACAUACUUCCACGGGAAUACCAGGAACUUCUGAAACUCGACGGUGUACAAAACUGCAAAGCAAAGCAAAACAACAGAAAAUGAGAUAGAAAAACAAGAAGCCUUAAACAUCAGUCAGAAAUUUCAAGCUGUAGUUGCAUGGAAAUGGUAAAUAAAAUGGUACCGGCGUUUAUAGGACCAUAGGCAUGGCCUGACUGGAUUUCAUCUAGAUAUUCGUUAAGCUUCAUCUUAGUAAUCUCAAGCCACAUUGGACUACAUGUAAAAAUAGUAAAAGUAUCAGGGGCCUCAUCCACUCAACAAAUUGUAAGACCAUCCUGAAAGUUCUCCUGGUAGUAACGCCGACCAGUGGUAUGGCUGGACGGCACAAUCGUUUUCAUCGGCAAAAGAGAACCAAUAAGAUGAUGGACCUGACCACAAAUUUUGAAGAUAUUAACCCCCGCGUGCCUUCCAGCGAACGAAUGACGUCGCCACAAUAGACGUAAAUGCCGUCCAACUGUGAUGCGGUAUCUUUGUCAGGAAUUGCUUGGAAACACGAUCACCAUGACAUGAUAAUAAAUGACUCAAUAAAGCAGGAGGAUUUCUGAAAGGUUUAACAACGACUUUUCCACCUUUGCAACAAAGGUUAUAAACAAUUUUACGUAACACACAUGAAGAAUAUGGAUUGGCCCUCUCCUCAAACCAAAAAGAAGCCUUGCAGAGAGGGCACUGGUACUCAGGAGGACCAUAGUAAGAUCUGUCCUUAUAGGAAACUACAGAAAACACAAUACUCAAGGAGGCCGUCAUGACAGGAAAAGGAAAAAACAAAACUAACAUCAACCUAAUAGUUAGUACCUUUGCGAUUGUCAACUACCUCGACAGGAAAACCAGUCCAAUCAGUUGGCAAGUCCCCUUCAAACCAAAGAUCUACAUGCAUGUUGUUAUGAGAAACAACAGCCAAAACAAAGAUACUAAGGACGGAAAGACAGGAACCCCGACCAAGAAAACCAGUACAUGUAACACCAUGGCAACGAAGGCCCCUAAGUAAUUUAUGCCUCUUCCGAUUUCUAGCCAACAUGGCAGGAGUGAGCACUGGGAACCAGGCAUCCCCUAGAAAACGACAGAACCGACACAAAUGAACAGAUGCAAGCCAAACAAAACCUAAGGAAAUGACCAUAUAGACAACAUACCAUUUCUCUUACGAAUACCACAAACACCAACAACAGGAGCAUGCAAAACACGCCGACGGCGAGCCAUCAUCAGCAAUGAGCACACAUAUAUGCAAAUACUGCAUAUUAAGACGAAAGCGAAGUAAAGACAGCACAGGUAAAUGCAAAAAAGUAUCAAACAGGAGCACAAGAGACAGUAGAGCCAAUUAAAUGAAAUAAUAAUGAUUCAUGCAUACAAAGAGAUGUUUAUUACAAGCAUACCCAAGGGAACAAUAUAAUGACCCAGACAUAAUCUAUCUAAGACACUCCUAGAUGGGCCUUAGAACCCAGACACCGAAUUGACCAGCUAUGAAUACAAUAAUUGUAAUUGAACACUUGUAUUUAUACCAGCGACAUCAACCUGCCCGCCUGCAUGUACCAGAGGCCAGGCAGGCUGGGCAAGCGCACCUGCAAGCACCAGAACCGACUGCGCAACACCUUUUAUAUGCUAACAUGCUAUCGUAAUUGUAAUCUGCAACAACAAACCCAUAUAUCCCUUGUAAAAAUUGGUUUGACACGGCACCACGUCAUCCCUAGUAAGAACAUCAAUCUCCACCCCUCCAAGCAGAAAACCAUCAGAUGCCACCACUCAAACAUAAGAAUGAAAUGGCAAUCGACAAUAGGUCGCAACAGCCUCAAGCAGAGGCACACAGGAAGAACUGAUAAUAAAAAUGCUUAUAAUAAUUAAUUAUUAAGGAGCAACCGGAAAAAUACCAACGCAGACCAUACAAAGGGAAGAACACAGAAGCCUAUGAAAUAAAUAGUAAUAAACACAACUAAAUAGCAAGCAAUAGGAAACAUAGCAAGGCACGACUUACCCUAUGAACCGAGCAGCAGCUCCACCAGUAAGUAGUUUCCAACAACAAAGUGCAACCCAAGAACUCAGUUGUAACUGAAACAAGCUGCCAAACAGAAAGUAAGGACCAUGAAAGAAAGCAAGGCAAAUUAAUAAACAGAGAAAUCAUAUGUAGAAGCAAUGAAGUCUGUAAUUGAGAAGCGCAGAUAAUCACUAAAGCAGAGAACUAACAUAACAUAAUAGCUGAAGGUGGCAAGCAAAAACAAGCAGACCCGAUGAGCAUAGCAAGCGUGAAACGCAUUCAGGAGCAGUUGGUCAACAUGCAAAGACACAGAAUGAAAGCCUAAAGCAUGGGCACCAGAUAACUGAAUCUCGCAGCAAGAAGCUAACAGCAGACACCCCCUAUUAGAAGGCACCCUCAUUAGCAGAACUGUAAACACAUCAAGCACACAAUCUCAAAUUCUCUUUGUAACCAACCAUGCCAAGUUGCCAACCAUCAUGGACAACAUCUUAACAGCCCGGCGGAGCUCAAAUCCAACACUCUCUUCCUAAUCAAACAUCCACCAUUAAGACAAGGCAAACAUCCAGCACUGAGACCAUUAUAACAAGAAGAGGGAUACCCAACCAUAAUAACUUAGGCAGACCAAAUCAAUUGACAGAGGCCAAUUAACAGACCAAACCCUUUAUUUUUUUCACACGUCACCUGACAAAGAAUAAUGUCACCAAACCAGUCCAAAAGGCGCAUACCCUGGUACAUCGACCUCUUCUGAAAAUCUCACUACAAUCGUAGAGAGAGAAUGCCGGCCCUAGCAAGAUCUAGACAACUAAGAAAAAAACACCUGUCACGCACAAGCAAACAAAGGAGGCACAAUGGAGAACUACUAAAAUCUAACCGGAGGACACCACCAUUCGUCUCCAUCAACAUAAAGAGACAAAUGUGAACUACCAAAAUCCAACCAGAGGACCCAGCCAAUACAAGAAGAAACCAAACAAAUUCACUGAUUUGCCACCAUCCACACCCAUAUGAUCGACGGACACACCAUACCGAGCAAUACACACAGACAAACAAGAAACAUAAAAAUAGAGAUAAGGAAAACGAGAGGUCGACCUGUAGUUUCCUGAUGAAAACGCGAAGACCAUCAUAGAUCGACCAGCGACACAGCAAAUCUAGGCCAAGUGAGGAGGAGAACAACGGACCUGCAAGUAGUAGACACCCAAGAUCCAAAACUGGCCAGCCAUGACAAUUCGAACACAGAAAAGAGGAAAGAACCGAGAGGAGAAUCACCUUAGCCGACGUCACCCCAGCGCGCCGCCAUCGGAGCCCCUCGGCGACCAACCCAGCGACGACUCAUGGACCAGGGAGCAGGACUACAGAGAGGAUUGAGCAACAAAACGAAAGGAGGGGAGGAGAAGAGGCAGGCGAUGACGCAGGAUAAGGGAGACGACCCACGCCCUAUGCCGUCGUAUAGCUUCGGGCCACGCGAGGUCCGGGUGCCUCUCCCCACGCACGGGCAGCGCGCCUCGACCCCAACACCGGAUCCGGCACCGCCAUGGGCCGCUCGACGGGGCAGGGGCUGGAACUGGACGGCGGCGGGGCAGGGAGGCGGGUGGGAGGGAGGAGGCGCGCGGGAGAGGAGGGGAGGCGGCGGCGAGGCGGGAGGAGCUGGGCGCGGUGGAGGCGCGAGGCGAAGGCGCGAGCGAGGGAGGAGGGAGUCGGCUGCGUGGGAGGGAGGGAGGGAGGCGGCUGCGCGAGUGCGGGAGAGAGAGGCGGCUAGGUCAUCUCCAUGGCGUGGUCCCUUUUAUACCCCCACCAUGCGAAAUGACCAAAAUACCCUGGUGGGGGCAUGGUAUUUACAUUCUGUUGCCAUUACUAUUCAUUUCAGCAGUGUUUCUUCCAAAUUCGAUAGCCCAGAUCCUCCCACCUCUCGAUCCAACAGACGAAAACGCAUCAAGGGAACAGAUCCAACGGCCCAGAAUCGCUGAUCUCUGUGGAGCCUUGUAGGAACAUCCUUCUCUUAUCUCUUGAUAUAGGAGAAAUAAGUAGGUCGGUGGAGUAACGAGGGGCCCACGAGGGUGGAGGGCGCGCCCGGAGGGGGGGUAGGCGCGCCCCCUGCCUCAUGGCCUCCUCGAUUGUUUCUUGACGUCCACUCCAAGUCCCGUGGAUCACGUUUGUUCCAAAAAUCAUGUUCACGAAGGUUUCAUUCCGUUUGGACUCCGUUUGAUAUUCCUUUUCUACGAAACACUGAAAUAUGCAAAAAAAACAGCAAUUUGGGCUGGCCCUCCGGUUAAUAGGUUAGUCCCAAAAAUAAUAUAAAAGUGUAAAAUAAAUCCCAUUAACAUCCAAAACAGAUAAUAUAAUAGCAUGGAACAAUCAAAAAUUAUAGAUAUGUUGGAGACGUAUCAAGCAUCGCCAAGCUUAAUUCCUGCUCGUCCUCGGGUAGGUAAAUGAUAAAAACAGAAUUUUUGAUGUGGAAUGCUUUCUAGAAUAUUCUUCAAUGUAUUUUUCUAUAUUGUGGCAUGAAUGUUCAGAUCUGAAAGAUUCAUGAUAAAAGUUUAUUGUUGACAUAAAAAUAGUAAUACUCCAAGUAUGCUAGUCAAGCAAUUAUGUCUUAUAAAAAUACCAUAGCCAGAGAAAACUUAACCCUACAAAGUCAUAUAGUUUGGCCAUGCUUCAUUUUCGUCACACAAAAUGCUCUCAUCAUGCACAACCCCGAUGACAAGCCAAGCAAUUGUUUCAUACUUAGCCUUUUUCAAACUCUUUCAACUUUUACGCAAUAUAUGAGCGUGAGCCAUGGACAUAGCACUAUGGGUGGAAUAGAAUAUGAUGAUUGAGGUUGUGUGAGAAGACAAAAAGGGAGAAAGUCUCACAUUGACGCGGCUAAUCAAUGGGCUAUGGAGAUGCCCACCGAUUGAUGUCAAUGCAAGGAGUAGGGAUUGCCAUGCAACAGAUGCACUAGAGCUAUAAAUAUAUGAAAGCUCAUCAAAGAAACUAAGUGGGUGUGCAUCCAACUCGCUUGCUCACGAAGACCUAGGGCAUUUGAGGAAGCCCGUCAAUGGAAUAUACAAGCCAAGUUCUAUAAUGAAAAAUUCCCACUAGUAUAUGAAAGUGACAAAAUAAGAGACUCUCUAUCGUGAAGAUCAUGGUGUACUUUGAAGCACAAGUGUGGAAAAAGGAUAGUAACAUUGUCCCUUCUCUCUUUUUCUCUCAUUUAUUUUUUUUUCUUUUUUUAUUUGGGCCUUUUUUCCUUUUUUUUUCUUUUGGCCUCUUUUCUUUUCCUUUUUUCGUCCGGAGUCUCAUCCCGACUUGUGGGGGAAUCAUAGUCUCCAGCAUCCUUUCCUCACAUGGGACAAUGUUCUAAUGAUGAUCAUCACACUUUUAUUUUCUUACAACUCAAGAAUUACAACUCGAUACUUAGAACAAAAUAUGACUCUAUGUGAAUGCCUCCGGCGGUGUACCAGGAUUGCAAUGAAUCAAGAGUGACAUGUAUGAAAAAAUUAUGAACAGUGGAUUUGCCACAAAUACGAUGUCAACUACAUGAUCAUGCAAAGCAAUAUGACAAUGAUGAUACAUGUCAUAAUAAAUGGAACGGUGGAAAGUUGCAUGGCAUUAUAUCUCGGAAUGGCUAUGGAAAUGCCAUAAUAGGUAGGUAUGGUGGCUGUUUUGAGGAAGAUAUAAGGAGGCUUAUGUGUGAUAGUGAAGGAAAUAUGCCCUAGAGGCAAUAAUAAAGUUAUUAUUUACUUCCUUAUAUCAUGAUAAAUGUUUAUUAUUCAUGCUAGAAUUAUAUUAACCGGAAACAUGAUACAUGUGUGAAUGCAUAGACAAACAGAAUGUCACUAGUAUGCCUCUACUUGACUAGCUCGUUGGUCAAAGAUGGUUAUGUUUCCUGACCAUAGACAAAGAGUUGUCAUUUGAUUAACGGGGUCACAUCAUUAGGAUAAUGAUGUGAUUGACUUGGCCCAUUUCAUUAGCUUAGCACUUGAUCGUUUAGUUUGUUGCUAUUGCUUUCUUCAUGACUUAUACAUGUUCCUAUGACUAUGAGAAUAUGCAACUCCUGUUUACCGGAGGAACACUUUGUGUGCUACCAAACGUCACAACGUAACUGGGUGAUUAAAAAGGUGCUCUACAGGUGUCUCCGAAGGUACUUGUUGGGUUGGCGUAUUUCGAGAUUAGGAUUUGUCACUCCGAUUGUCGGAGAGGUAUCUCUGGGCCCACUCGGUAAUACACAUCACUUAAGCCUUGCAAGCAUUGCAACUAAUGAGUUGGUUGCGGGAUGAUGUGUUACGGAACGAGUAAAGAGACUUGCCGGUAAUGAGAUUGAACUAGGUAUUGAGAUACCGACAAUCGAAUCUCGGGCAAGUAACAUACCGAUGACAAAGGGAACAACGUAUGUUGUUAUGCGGUCCGACCGAUAAAGAUCUUCAUAGAAUAUGUAGGAGCCAAUAUGGGCAUCCAGGUUCCGCUAUUGGUUAUUAACCAAAGAGGUGUCUCGGUCAUGUCUACAUAGUUCUCGAACCCGUAGGGUCCGCACGCUUAACAUUCGCUGACGGUAUAGUAUUAUGAGUUAUAUAUGUUGGUGACGGAAUGUUGUUCGGAGUUCCGGAUAAGAUCACGGACAUGACGAGGAACUCCGGAAUGGUCCGGAGAUAAAGAUUGAUAUAUGGGAUAAUAGUGUUUGGACUCCGGAAGGGGUUCCGGAUGUUUCCCGAAAUGUUUGGGUACGAGAACACUUUAUUUGGGCCAAAGGGGAAAGCCCACAAGGUUUUUGGAAAACGGAAAAGGAAGUUUUGCGGAGUCCAGGGGCCAGACGCCAGGGUCCCUGGCGUCUGGCCCUGGAGUCCGAGAAGGACUCUUGCCUUUCAGGUGAAACCGACUUUGUGGAGGCUUUUACUCCAAGUUCCGACCCCAAGGCUCAACAUAUAAAUAGAGGGGUAGGGCUAGCACCCAAGACACAUCAAGAAACACCAAGCCGUGUGCCGGCAACCCCGUCCCCUCUAGUUUAUCCUCCAUCAUAGUUUUCGUAGUGCUUAGGUGAAGCCCUGCGGAGAUUGUUCUUCACAAAUACCGUCACCACGCCGUCGUGCUGCCGGAACUCAUCUACUACUUCGCCCCUCUUGCUGGAUCGAGAAGGCGAGGACGUCACCGAGCCGAACGUGUGCAGAACUCGGAGGUGCCAUGCUUUCGGUACUUGGAUCAGUCGGAUCGUGAAGACGUAAGACUACAUCAACCACGUUGAUAUAACGCUUCCGCGAAUGGUCUACGAGUGUACGUAGAUAACACUCUCCCCUCUCGUUGCUAUGCAUCACCAUGAACCUGCAUGUGCGUAGGAAUUUUUUUGAAAUUACUAUGUUCCCCAAUAGUGGCAUCCGAGCCUGGUUUUAUGCGUAGAUGUUAUAUGCACGAGUAGAACACAAGUGAGUUGUGGGCGAUACAAGUCAUUCUGCUUACCACCAUGUCAUACUUUGGUUCGGCGGUAUUGUUGGAUGAAGCGGCCCGGACCGACAUUACGCGUACGGUUACGCGAGACUGGUUCUACCGACGUGCUUUGCACAUAGGUGGCCGGCGGGUGUCAGUUUCUCCAGCUUUAGUUGAACUGAGUGUGGCUAUGCCCGGUCCUUGAGAAGGUUAAAACUGCACUAACUUGAUGAACUAUCAUUGUGGUUUUGAUGCAUAGGUAAGAACGGUUCUUGCUCAACCCGUAGCAGCCACGUAAAACUUGAAAAAGUAGAGGACGUCUAACUUGUUUUUGCAGGGCAUGAUGUGAUAUGAUAUGGCCAAGGCAUGAUGCUAUAUUUUAUUGUAUGAGAUGAUCAUGUUUUGUAACCGAGUUAUCGGCAACUGGCAGGAGCCAUAUGGUUGUCGCUUUAUUGUAUGCAAUGCAAACGCCCUGUAAUGCUUUACUUUAUCACUAAGCGGUAGCGAUAGUCAUAGAAGCAUAAGUUGGCGAGACGACAACGAUGCUACGAUGGAGAUCAAGGUGUCACGCCGGUGACGAUGGUGAUCAUGAUGGUGCUUCGGAGAUGGAGAUCACAAGCACAAGAAGAUGAUAGCCAUGUCAUAUCACUUAUAUUGAUUGCAUGUGAUGUUUAUCUUUUAUGCAUCUUAUCUUGCUUUGAUUGAUGGUAGCAUUAUAAGAUGAUCUCUCACUAAAUUAUCAAGAUAUAAGUGUUCUCCUUGAGUAUGCACCGUUGCGAAAGUUCUUCGUGCUGAGACACCACGUGAUGGUCGGGUGUGAUAGGCUCUACGUUCAAAUACAACGGGUGCAAAACAGUUGCACACGCGGAAUACUCAGGUUAAACUUGACGAGCCUAGCAUAUAACAGAUACACGGAGACCGAAAGGUCGAGCGUGAAUCAUAUAGUAGAUAUGAUCAACAUAGUGAUGUUCACCAUUGAAACUACUCCAUCUCACGUGAUGAUCGGACAUGGUUUAGUUGAUUUGGAUCACGUGAUCACUUGGAAGAUUAGAGGGGUGUCUAUCUAAGUGGGACUUCUUAAGUAAUAUGAUUAAUUGAACUUAAAUUUAUCAUGAACUUAGUACCUGAUAGUUUCUAGCUUGUCUAUGUUGAUUAUAGAUAGAUGGCUCGUGUUGUUGUUUCGUUAAAUUUUAAUGCGUUCCUUGAGAAAGCAAAUUUGAAAGAUGAUGGUAGCAAUUACACGGACUGGGUCUGUAACUUGAGGAUUAUCCUCAUUGCUGCACAGAAGAAUUACGUCCUGGAAGCACCGCUAGGUGUACCACCUGCACCAGCAACUGCAGACAUUGUGAAUGCCUGGCAGUCACGUGUUGAUGACUACUCGAUAGUUCAGUGUGCCAUGCUUUACGGCUUAGAACCGGGACUUCAACGAUGUUUUGAACAUCAUGGAGCAUAUGAGAUGUUCCAGGAGUUGAAGUUAAUAUUUCAAGCAAAUGCCUGGAUUGAGAGAUAUGAAGUCUCAUAUAAGUUCUAUAGCUGCAAGAUGGAGGAGAAUAGUUCUGUUAGUGAGCAUAUACUCAGAAUGUCUGGGUACUGCAAUCACUUGAUUCAACUGGGAGUUAAUCUUCCAGGUGAUAGUGUCAUUGACAGAAUUCUUCAAUCACUGCCACCAAGCUACAAGAGCUUCGUGAUGAACUAUAAUAUGCAAGGGAUGGAUAAGACGAAUCCCGAGCUCUUUGCAAUGCUAAAGGAUGCGGAGGUACAAAUCAAGAAGGAGCAUCAAGUGUUGAUGGUCAAUAAGACCACCAGUUUCAAGAAAAAGGGCAAAGGGAAGAAGAAGGGAAACUUCAAAAAGAACGGCAAACAAGUUGUUGCUCAAGAGAAGAAACCCAAGUCUGGACCUAAGCCUGAGACUGAGUGCUUCUACUGCAAGUAGACUGGUCACUGGAAGCGGAACUGCCCCAAGUAUUUGGCAGAUAAGAAGGAUGGCAAGGUGAACAAAGGUAUAUGUGAUAUACAUGUUAUUGAUGUGUACCUUACUAAUGCUCGCAGUAGCACCUGGUUAUUUGAUACUGGUUAUGUUGCUAAUAUUUGCAACUCGAAAUAGGAGCUACGGAUUAAGCGAAGACUAGCUAAGGACGAGGUGACGAUGCGUGUGGGAAAUGGUUCCAAAGUCGAUGUGGUCGUAGUCGGCAGACUACCUCUACAUCUACCUUCGGGAUUAGUUUUAGACCUGAAUAAUUGUUAUUUGGUGCCAGCGUUGAGCAUGAACAUUAUAUCUGGAUCUUGUUUGAUGCGAGAUGGUUAUUCAUUUAAAUCAGAGAAUAAUGGUUGUUCUAUUUAUAUGAGUAAUAUCUUUUAUGGUCAUGCACCCUUGAAGAGUGGUCUAUUCUUAUUAAAUCUCGAUAGUAGUGAUACACAUAUUCAUAAUAUUGAAGCCAAAAGAUGCAGAGUUGAUAAUGAUAGUGCAACUUAUUUGUGGCACUACCGUUUAGGUCAUAUCGGUAUAAAGCCCAUGAAGAAAUUCCAUACUGAUGGACUUUUGGAACCACUUGGUUAUGAAUCAUUUGGUACUUGCGAACCGUGCCUCAUGGGCAAGAUGACUAAAACGCCGUUCUCCGAAACUAUGGAGCGAGCAACAGAUUUGUUGGAAAUCAUACAUACAAAUGUGUGUGGUCCGAUGAAUAUUGAGGCUCGCGACGGGUAUUGUUAUUUUCUCACCUUCACAGAUGAUUUAAGCAGAUAUGGGUAUAUCUACUUAACGAAACAUAAGUCUGAAACAUUUGAAAAGUUCAAAGAAUUUCAGAGUGAAGUUGAAAAUCAUUGUAACAAGAAAAUAAAGUUUCUAUGAUCUGAUCAUGGACGAGAAUAUUUGAGUUACGAGUUUGGUCUUCAUUUGAAACAAUGCGGAAUAGUUUCGCAACUGACGCCACCCGGAACACCACAACGUAAUGGUGUGUCCUAACAUCGUAAUCAUAGUUUACUAGAUAUGGUGCAAUCUAUGAUGUCUCUUACUGAUUUACCGCUAUCAUUUUGGGGUUAUGCUCUAGAGACAGCUGCAUUCAUGUUAAAUAGGGCACCAUCAAAAUCCGUUGAGACGACGCCUUAUGAACUAUGGUUUGGCAAGAAACCAAAGUUGUCGUUUCUGAAAGUUUGGGGUUGCGAUGCUUAUGUGAAAAAGCUUCAACCUGAUAAGCUCGAACCCAAAUCAGAGAAAUGUGUCUUCAUAGGACACCCAAAAGAGACUGUUGGGUACACCUUCUAUCACAGAUCCGAAGGCAAGACUUUUGUUGCUAAAUUAGGAAUCUUUCUAGAGAAGGAGUUUCUCUCGAAAGAAGUGAGUGGGAGGAAAGUAGAACUUGAUGAGGUAACUAUACCUGCUCCCUUAUUGGAAAGUAGUUCAUCACAGAAACAGGUUCCUGUGACACCUACACCAAUUAGUGAGGAAGUUAAUGAUGAUGAUCAUGAAACUUCAGAUCAAGUUGUUACUGAACCUCGUAGGUCAACCAGAGUGAGAUCCGCACCAGAGUGGUACGGUAAUCCUGUUAUGGAGGUUAUGUUGCUAGACCAUGAUGAACCUACGAACUAUGAAGAAGCAAUGGUGAGCCCAGAUUCCGCAAAAUGGCUUGAAGCCAUGAAAUCUGAGAUGGGAUCCAUGUAUGAGAACAAAGUGUGGACUUUGGUUGACUUGCCCGUUGAUCGGCAAGCCAUCGGGAAUAAAUGGAUCUUCAAGAAGAAGACUGACGCUGAUGGUAAUGUUACUGUCUAUAAAGCUCGACUUGUUGCAAAAGGUUUCAACAAGUUCAAGGGAUUGACUACGAUGAGACCUUCUCCCCCGUAGCGAUGCUAAAGUCUGUCUGAAUCAUGUUAGCAAUUGCUGCAUUUUAUGAUUAUGAAAUUUGGCAAAUGGAUGUCAAAACUGCAUUCCUGAAUGGAUUUCUGGAAGAAGAAUUGUAUAUGAUGCAACCGGAAGGUUUUGUCGAUCCAAAGGGAGCUAACAAAGUGUGCAAGCUCCAGCGAUCCAUUUAUGGACUGGUACAAGCCUCUCGGAGUUGGAAUAAACAUUUUGAUACUGUGAUCAAAGCAUAUGGUUUUAUACAGACUUUUGGAGAAGCCUGUAUUUACAAGAAAGUGAGUGGGACCUCUGUAGCAUUUCUAAUUUUAUAUGUGGAUGACAUAUUGUUGAUUGGAAAUGAUAUAGAAUUUCUGGAUAGCAUAAAAGGAUAUUUGAAUAAAAGUUUUUCAAUGAAAGACCUCGGUGAAGCUACUUACAUAUUGGGCAUCAAGAUCUAUAGAGAUAGAUCAAGACUCUUAAUUGGACUUUCACAAAGCACAUACCUUGACAAAGUUUUGAAGAAGUUCAAAAUGGAUCAAGCAAAGAAAGGGUUCUUGCCUGUGUUACAAGGUGUGAAGUUGAGUAAGACUCAAUGCCCGACCACUGCAGAAGAUAGAGAGAAAAUGAAAGAUGUUCCCUAUGCUUCAGCCAUGGGCUCUAUAAUGUAUGCAAUGCUGUGUACCAGACCUGAUGUGUGCCUUGCUUUUAGUUUAGCAGGGAGGUACCAAAGUAAUCUAGGAGUGGAUUACUGGAUAGCGGUCAAGAACAUCCUAAAAUACCUGAAAAGGAUGAAGGAUAUGUUUCUCGUUUAUGGAGGUGACAAAGAGCUCAUCGUAAAUGGUUACGUCGAUGCAAGCUUUGACACUGAUCCGGACGAUUCUAAAUCACAAACCGGAUACAUGUUUUUAUUAAACGGUGGAGCUAUCAGUUGGUGCAGUUCUAAACAAAGCGUCGUAGCAGGAUCUACAUGUGAAGCGGAGUAUAUAGCUGCUUUAGAAGCAGCAAAUGAAGGAGUCUGGAUGAAGGAGUUCAUAUCCGAUCUAGGUGUCAUACCUAGUGCAUCGGGUCUAAUGAAAAAUCUUUUGUGACAAUACUGGUGCAAUUGCUUAGGCAAAGGAAUCCAGAUUUCACAAGAGAACCAAGCACAUCAAGAGACUCUUCAACUCCAUCCGGGACCAAGUCCAGGUGGGAUACAUAGAGAUUUGAAAGAUACAUACGGAUCUGAAUGUUGCAGACCCGUUGACUAAGCCUCUUCCACGAGCAAAACAUGAUCAGCACCAAGGCUCCAUGGGUGUUAGAAUCAUUACUGUGUAAUCCAGAUUAUUGACUCUAGUGCAAGUGGGAGACUAAAGGAAAUAUGCCCUAGAGGUAAUAAUAAAGUUAUUAUUUAUUUCCUUAUAUCAUGAUAAAUGUUUAUUAUUCAUGCUAGAAUUGUAUUAACCGGAAACAUGAUACAUGUGUGAAUACAUAGACAAACAGAAUGUCACUAGUAUGCCUCUACUUGACUAGCUCGUUGGUCAAAGAUGGUUAUGUUUCCUGACCAUAGACAAAGAGUUGUCAUUUGAUUAAUGGGGUCACAUCAUUAGGAUAAUGAUGUGAUUGACUUCACCCAUUUCGUUAGCUUAGCACUUGAUCGUUUAGUUUGUUGUUAUUGCUUUCUUCAUGACUUAUACAUGUUUUUAUGACUAUGAGAUUAUGCAACUCCUGUUUACCGCAGGAACACUUUGCAUGCUACCAAACGUCACAACGUAACUGGGUGAUUAUAAAUGUGCUCUACAUGUGUCUCCGAAGGUACUUGUUGGGUUGGCGUAUUUCGAGAUUAGGAUUUGUCACUCCGAUUGUCGGAGAGGUAUCUCUGGGCCCACUCGGUAAUACACAUCACUUAAGCCUUGCAAGCAUUGCAACUAAUGAGUUGGUUGCGGGAUGAUGUGUUACAGAACGAGUAAAGAGACUUGCCAGUAAUGAGAUUGAACUAGGUAUUGAGAUACCGACGAUCGAAUCUCGGGCAAGUAACAUACCGAUGACAAAGGGAACAAUGUAUGUUGUUAUGCGGUCCGACCGAUAAAGAUCUUCGUAGAAUAUGUAGGAGCCAAUAUGGUCAUCCAGGUUCCGCUAUUGGUUAUUGACCAGAGAGGUGUCUCGGUCAUGUCUACAUAGUUCUUGAACCCAUAGGGCCCGCACGCUUAACGUUCGUUGACGAUAUAGUAUUAUGAGUUAUAUAUGUUGGUGAGUGAAUGUUGUUCGGAGUUCCGGAUAAGAUCACGGACAUGACGAGGAACUCCGGAAUGGUCCGGAGAUAAAGAUUGAUAUAUGGGAUAAUAGUGUUUGGACUCCGGAAGGGGUUUCGGAUGUUUCCCGAAAUGUUUGGGUACGAGAACACUUUAUUUGGGCCAAAGGGGAAAGCCCACAAGGUUUUUGGAAAGCGCAAAAGGAAGUUUUGUGGAGUCCAGGGGCCAGACGCCAGGGUCCUUGGAGUCUGGGUCCAGACGCCGGGAACCGUGGCGUCUGGCCCUGGAGUCCAAGAAGGACUCUUGCCUUUCAGGUGAAACCGACUUUGUGGAGGCUUUUACUCCAAGUUUCGACCCCAAGGCUCAACAUAUAAAUAGAGGGAUAGGGCUAGCACCCAAGACACAUCAAGAAACACCAAGUUGUGUGCCGGCAACCCCGUCCCCUCUAGUUUAUCCUCCGUCAUAGUUUUUGUAGUGCUUAGGUGAAGCCCUGCGGAGAUUGUUCUUCACCAACACCGUCACCACGCCGUCGUGCUGCCGGAACUCAUCUACUACUUCGCCCCUCUUGCUGGAUUGAGAAGGCGAGGACAUCACCGAGCCGAACGUGUGCAGAACUCGGAGGUGCCGUGCUUUCGGUACUUGGAUCGGUCGGAUCGUGAAGACGUACGACUACAUCAACCGCGUUGAUAUAACGCUUCCGCGAACGGUCUACGAGGGUACGUAGACAACACUCUCCCCUCUCGUUGCUAUGCAUCACCAUGAUCCUGCGUGUGCAUAGGAAUUUUUUUGAAAUUACUACAUUCCCCAACAGAUAGAGCGUAUCAUAUCACGGGGUUUGGAUGCACCGGCGAAGUUUGCACCAACUCUCAAGGUGAGAAAGGGCAAUGCACGGUACCGAAGAGGCUAGCAAUGAUGGAAGGGUGAGAGUGCGUAUAAUCCAUGAACUCAACAUUAGUCAUAAAGAACUCACAUACUUAUUGCAAAAAUUUACAAGUCAUCAAAACCAAGAACUAUGCGCAUGCUCCUAGGGGAUAGAUUGGUAGGAAAAGACCAUCGCUCAUCCCCGACCGCCACUCAUAAGGAAAGCAAUCAAAGAACACCCCAUGCUUCAAAUUUGUCACAUAAUGUUUACCAUACAUGCAUGCUAUGGGACUUGCCAACUUCAACACAAGUAUUCGUCAAUUUUACAAUUACUCAACUAGCACACCUCUAAUAUUACCACCUUUAUAUCUCAAAACCAUCUAUCAAGCAUCCAACUUCUCUUAGCAUUUAAAAUUUAUAACCAAAGUGAAUUACCAUGCUGUUCUAAAGGACUCUCAAAAUGAUAUAAGUGAAGCAUGAGAGAUCAAUUAUUUCUAUAAAAUAGAACCACCACCGUGCUCUAAAAGAUAUAAGCAAAGCAAUAGAGCUAAAAUUGUACAACUCAAAAGAUAUAAGUGAAUCACACAGAGUAUUCUAAUAAAUUCCAAUUCAUGUGAGUCCUUCCCAAAAGUUGUGUACAACAAAGAUGAUUGUGGUAAACUAAAAAGUAAAGACUCAAAUCAUACAAUACGCUCCAAGCAAAACACAUAUCAUGUGGCGAAUAAAAAUAUAGCUCCAAGUAAAGUUACCGAUGGACGAAGACGAAAGAGGGGAUGCCUUCCGGGGCAUCCCCAAGCUUAGGAUUUUUGGUGUCCUUGGAUUUUACCUUGGGGUGCCUUGUGAAUCCCCAAGCUUAGGCUCUUGCCACUCCUUGUUCCAUAAUCCAUCAAAUCUUUACCCAAAACUUGAAAACUUCACAACACAAAACUUAAAAGAAAAUCUUCGUGAGCUCCGUUAAUAAAAGAAAACAAACCACCACUUCAAGGUAAUGUAAUGAACUCAUUCUUUAUUUAUAUUUGUGUUAAACCUACUGUAUUCCAACUUUUGUAUGGUUCAUAAACUCUAUUACUAGCCAUAGAUUCAUCAAAAUAAGCAAACAACAUGCGAAAAAGAGAAUCUGUCAAAAACAGAACAGUCUGUAGUAAUCUGUAGGUUUCGAAUACUUCUGGAACCCCAAAAAUUCUAAAGUAAAUUUCUGGACGUGAGGAAUUUAUCUAUUAAUCAUCUGCAAAAAUAAUUAACUAAAUAUCACCCUCCAAUAAAAAAUGGCAUCAAUUCUCGUGAGCGCUAAAAUUUCUGUUUUUUACAGCAAGAUCAGAAAGACUUUCCCCAAGUCUUCCCAACGGUUCUACUUGGCACAAACACUAAUUAAACACAAAAAAACACAACCAAAACAGAGGCUAGAUAAAUUAUUUAUUACUAAAUAGUAACAAAAAGCAAGGAAUAAAAAUAAAGUUGGAUUGCCUCCCAACAAGCGCUAUCGUUUAACGCCCCUAGCUAGGCAUAAAAGCGAAGAUAGAUCUAGGUAUUGCCAUCUUUGGUAGGCAAUCCAUAAGUGGCUCUCAUAAUUGAUUCAUAUAGUAAUUUCAUUUUCUUUCUAGGGAAGUUUUCCAUGCCUUUCCUUAACGGAAAAUGGAAUUUAAUUUCCCUUCCUUCAUAUCAAUAAUUGCACCAAUCGUUCUAAGGAAAGGUCUACCAAGAAUAAUAGGACAUGAAGGAUUGCAAUCUAUAUCAAGAACAAUGGAAUCUACGGGCACAUAAUUCCUAUUCGCAACAAUAAGAACAUCAUUAAUCUUUUCCAUAGGUUUCUUAAUAGUGGAAUCCGCAAGGUGCAAGUUUAUAGAACAAUCAUCAAAUUCAUGGAAACCUAGCAAAUCACACAAAGUUUUUGGGAUCGUGGAAACACUAGCACCAAAAUCACACAAAGCAUAGCAUUCAUGAUCUUUAAUUUUAAUUUUAAUUUUAGGUUCCCACUCAUCAUAAAGUUUUCUAGGGAUAGAAACUUCCAACUCAAGUUUUUUCUUCGUAAGAUUGCAUCAAAGCAUCAACGAUAUGUUUAGUAAAGGCUUUAUUUUGACUAUAAGCAUGUGGAGAAUUUAGCAUGGAUUGCAACAAGGAAAUACAAUCUAUCAAAGAGAAAUUAUAAUAAUUAAAUUCCUUGAAAUCCAAGAUAGUGGGUUCGUUGCUAUCUAAAGUUUUGACCUCUUCAAUCCCACUUUUACCAAUUUUUGCAUCAAGAUCUAAAAACUCUGAAUCAUUGGGACGCCUUCUAACUAAAGUUGACUCAUCUCCAGUCCCAUCAUUAUCAAGAUUCAUAUUGAAAAACAAGGAUUUAAUAGGGGACACAUCAAUCACUUUUAGAUCUUCAUCCUUAUUAUCAUGAAAACUUUGCGGUUUAGCGGCCAUCUUAUUAACUAAGGCGGCCUCCUUAUCCGAGAUUUCAGCAAUUAAUUUUUCAAGAUGAGCAAGCUGAGAUUUCAAACCAUAAAAUUCCUUAGACAUAUCAUUGAGAUCUUUAUUCAUGAAACCGAUAAAACUUUUUUGUUCUUUAAGCUCAUUUCUAGAGAAAUUAUUAUGCUCAAACUGCAAGGACAUAAAACUUCUAACGUUGUUUUCGAUUUCUUCCAACCUUGUAAGGUGAGGAUCAACUCCUUUUGGUAAAGCCAUGAGGGCAACAAGCAACAAGACGUAAGCGAGAAAGAGGCGAAUGGGAAAGACAGAGCGAAUAAAACGGCAAGGGUGAAGUGGGGGAGAGGAAAACGAGAGGCAAAUGGCAAAUAAUGUAAUGCAAAGGAUAAGAGUUGUGAUGGGUACUUGGUAUGUCUUGACUUGGCGUAGAUCUCCCCGGCAACGACGCCAGAAAUCCUUCUUGCUACCUCUUGGGCACUUUGUUGGUUUUCCCUUGAAGAGGAAAGGGUGAUGCAGUAAAGCAACGUAAGUAUUUCCCUCAGUUUUUGAGAACCAAGGUACCAAUCCAGUAGGAGACCACACACGAGUCACCUCGUACCUACACAAACAAAUAAGAACCUCGCAACCAACACGAUAAAGGGGUUGUCAAUCCCUUCACGGCCACUUGCAAGAGUGAGAUCUGAUAGAGAUGAUAAUAAUAAGAUAAAUAUUUUUGGUAUUUUUAUGAUAUAGAUUGAAAGUAAAGAUUGCAAAAUAAAAUAGAUUGGAAACUUAUAUGAUGGAGAAUAGACCCGGGGGCCAUAGGUUUCACUAUUGGCUUCUCUCAAGAUAGCAUAAGUAUGGUGGGUGAACAAAUUACUAUUGAGCAAUUGAUAGAAAAGCGAAUAAUUAUGAGAAUAUCUAGGUAUGAUCAUGUAUAUAGGCAUCACAUCCGUGACAAGUAGACCGACUCUUGCCUGCAUCUACUACUAUUACUCCACACAUCGACCGCUAUCCAGCAUGCAUCUACUACUAUUACUCCACACAUCAACCGCUAUCCAGCAUGCAUCUAGAGUAUUAAGUUCAUAAGAAUGGAGUAACGCCUUAAGCAAGAUGAAAUGAUGUAGAGGGAUAAACUCAUGCAAUAUGAUAUAAACCCCAUCUUUUUAUCCUCGAUGGCAACAAUACAAUACGUGUCGUUUCCCUUUCUGUCACUGGGAUCGAGCACCGCAAGAUUGAACCCAAAGCUAAGCACUUCUCCAAUGGCAAGAAAGAUCAAUCUAGUAGGCCAAACCAAACUGAUAAUUCGAAGAGACUUGCAAAGAUAAACCAAUCAUACAUAAAAGAAUUCAGAGAAGAUUCAAAUAUUGUUCAUAGAUAGACUUGAUCAUAAACCCGCAAUUCAUCAGAUCUCGACAAACACACCGCAAAAGAAGACUACAUCGAAUAGAUCUCCAAGAGAAUUGAGGAGAACUUUGUAUUGAGAUCCAAAGAGAGAGAAGAAGCCAUCUAGCUACUAGCUAUGGACCCGAAGGUCUGAGGUAAAUGACUCACACAUCAUCGGAGGGGCCAUGGAGUUGAUGUAGAGGCCCGCCGUGAUCAAUGACCCCUCCGGCGGAGCUCCGGAAAAGGCCCCAGGAUGGGAUCUCUUGGGUACAGAAGGUUGCGGCGGUGGAAAUAGGGUUUCGUGGUGCUCCUGGAUGUUCUCGGGGUAUAUGGAUAUAUAUAUAUAUAUAUAUAUAUAUAUAUAUAUAUAGGAGGAAGAAGUAGGUCGGUGGAGCAACGAGGGGCCCACGAGGGUGGAGGGCGUGCCCAGGGGGGUAGGCGCGCCCCCUGCCUCAUGGCCUCCUCGAUUGUUUCUUGACGUCCACUCAAAAUCCCCUGGAUCACAUUUGUUCCAAAAAUCACGUUCCCGAAGGUUUCAUUCUGUCUGGACUCCGUUUGAUACUCCUUUUCUACGAAACACUGAAAUAGGCAAAAAACAGCAAUUUGGGCUGAGCCUCCGUUUAAUAGGUUAGUCCCAAAAACAAUAUAAAAGUGUAAAAUAAAGCCCAUUAACAUCCAAAACAGAUAAUAUAAUAGCAUGGAACAAUCAAAAAUUAUAGAUACGUUGGAGACGUAUCAGAUAUCUGGUGUUCAAGGGGGGCUUGCCUAGUUGCUUUGGCAAGAAGGAAGGGUCGUCAACACCGUAGUCGAGCUGGGGGUCGCCGGUAGUCUCGGGGUCUACCAAAAAGAAGUAACGGAGGGGAAACACAAUAAAUAACAAAGCAAUCAAAGCAUCACAAAGUAUAACAUGGCAAUACGCGGUGCUAGGUUUGACCUAACGUAGUACUAGGUGAUACCGGUGAAGGAGGAAAACAUCCGGGAAGUAUUCCCGGUGUUUCGCGUUUUCGAACAGAUGAACCGGAGGGGGAAAGUUGUGUGUUUGCUAUGCUAGGGAUGUGUGGCGGAAGAACAGGCUGCGUAUUCGGAUUCGUCUCGUCGUUCUGAGCAACUUUCAUGUACAAAGUAUUUUCAUCCGAGUUACGGUUUAUUUGCUAUUGUUUAUCAAAGUUUUAGGCAUUUUUUUAAGUUCAUUUAAUUAUUUAAAUCAAACAUUAUCCAGAACAGUGAAAGGUGAUGUCAGCAUGACAUCACCAUGACAUCAGCAGGUCAAACCCAGCUGAUGAGAGUCAAACCUGGCCUGUGGGUCUAGUGGGACCCACCUGUCAUAGACUAAGGCUAACUAAACAUGUUUAGUUAGUUUAGCUAAUUGAUUAGGUUAAUCAAACACAAUUAAUUUAAUUAAUUAAUUUAGUUAAUUAAUUAAUUAAUAUUUGUAUUUAUUUAUUAUUAUUCUUAAUUCUUUUUUAAUUCUUUUUUCUAAUCGUUCUGGGUGGGCCCCCCUUGUCAUAGGCCCUAGAGGCCUUAAUGGGGCGNNNNNNNNNNNNNNNNNNNNNNNNNNNNNNNNNNNNNNNNNNNNNNNNNNNNNNNNNNNNNNNNNNNNNNNNNNNNNNNNNNNNNNNNNNNNNNNNNNNNUAGGGCCAGGACAGCACGCCGGCGUGGAGCAGUGGCAGGGCGUGCACGCGCGGUCUCGGCAAGGUGCGGGCACGGCGGCCGUCAACGGGGAAGGCGGGUCGGCACGGUGGCACACAGUAGCAGCAGAAGCGGCGCAGCAGUUGAGGCUGUGGGCGCGUGAGCGGCUGCCGGCAGACGAGGUCAAGCAGAGGGGGAGCGGGGCGGGGUAUGUCAUCCGGGCGAGAGGACGCGAGCGCAUGCGCGCGUGAUGGUGCGCUGAGCGCAGCGGGCAGGGCCACGGCGCGGCCAACAACGGCUACAAGGCGAGGUGGGCGCAGUGGCCGGCGAGCAGCAGUGAAGGUGGUGGAGGGGGCCGCGGCAGACACGGGACAGAGGAAGAGACGGGGAAAGGGCGAGGCUCGAGGUGUCCUUUGGGGAGGAGGACGGGGAUGCAAGAUCCGGCGACGGGGCGGUGGUCGGCGACGAGCGUCGGCGGAGUGGCUCCGGGCGGCGUCGGCGACGGUUCCUCGGGUGGGGGCGUGGUCGGGCAGCCGUGUACGACGAGGUGGCGGCGGGGGAUGACUCUGGCGCGGGAGUGGUGGCGGAGGUGGGUGCAGGGGAGGAUGAGGCGAGUUCGGGGGAGGCGCAGGGCGUGGCCGGCGGGAGGAGCUGCGGGGUCGAGCGAGAGCGCUCUCGCUCGUCCGUGGCGGCGCGAGGCGGGUGGGGGUCGAGAGGAUCAUGCAGAUAGGGAGUGGGGGCGAGAGGUGUGAGGGUCUAGGGUUCAGUUGCAGGGGGUUAUUGGGGCAGUGGUGGGCCGACUGGGUGUGCGACCAGCUGGGCUGUGGCCCAGUUGGACCAGGGGCACUUUUCCUUUUUAUUUUACUUCUUUUUGUUUUUUUUAUUUAUCCUUUAUUUAUUUAUUUUAGUUUCUAUUUAUUUUAGUUUUAAUAAAAUACAAAAGUGACACCUAAUUUAGUGUUACAAAUUGUGGCUUUGCAACUAUUAAUUUAGCUCUCCAAAAUAAAAUGGUUUGUAAUAGUUUAUUCUUUUUAAAAGCAUUUAAGUAAUUGUUUAGCCCCUAUUUCAAUUAAUUUCUUACAUCUAAACAUUUUAUCAAAAUGUGGUUUCAUCAGCAUAAUUACAUAUGCAUUAUAUGUCAUCUCUCGAACAUUUUAGUUUUAAUUUUUGAAAACAUUUGUUGCUUGCCUAUAUUUUAAAUUUGAAUUUGAAUCGUUUUUUGAACCAUCGCGAAAUUAAUAACAGUAAUCGCAGUGACAUGGCAUCAUUAGCAAAGGUCCACUGUAGCUUAAUUAUCCGGGCGUCACAAUUCUCCUCCAUUACAAGAAAUCUCGUCCCGAGAUUUUAAGAGGCUGAGUAAGGGGAAAGAUGUGGUUACUAAAUUCUAACAAUUCUUCUCGGUCUUAGUUUCUCUUCUCAAAGAGGUCGAUCCAUUACAUUCAUGUCUUCAUUUCUCUGCUUCAAGUCAUCAUGAUGAAGUUGUCGUCCUUCCUUAAGGAUCUUCACUAUACUUACAAAAGACUAAAGGAGGAGCAUUCCGGGAGAACAGACCUCGGCAAGGUUGACUAUCUAGUCGAGAACAUCGAGGAAGGUGGCGGAGAGUAACUCUCGAAUUGAAACUUAUGAAAAUAUCGAGAGCAAAGUAAGGAGUUAUCAUGGGAAGUUUCGAGCGGGCAGGCAAGCGCUCGAUGCCUGAAACAGGGCGCGAAAGGGACCCAAAGCAACGGGAAUAAGUAUUGUGUCUGAUAGCAGAAUUGAUGAUCUCUCGAAAGGUGGCUCAUGAAUUACAUAUGAGACCACACGCGAGGAAUAACUAUGGAAAUAGGGGGUACAUGAGAGUGAAGGAAAUAUGCCCUAGAGGCAAUAAUAAAGUUAUUAUUUAUUUCCUUAUAUCAUGAUAAAUGUUUAUUAUUCAUGCUAGAAUUGUAUUAACCGGAAACAUAAUACAUGUGUGAAUACAUAGACAAACAGAGUGUCACUAGUAUGCCUCUACUAGACUAGCUCGUUAAUCAAAGAUGGUUAUGUUUCCUAACCAUGGACAAAGAGUUGUUAUUUGAUUAACGGGAUCACAUCAUUAGGUGAAUGAUCUGAUUGACAUGACCCAUUCCAUUAGCUUAGCACUUGAUCGUUUAGUAUGUUGCUAUUGCUUUCUUCAUAACUUAUACAUGUUCCUAUGACUAUGAGAUUAUGCAACUCCCGUUUACCGGAGGAACACUUUGUGUGCAACCAAACGUCACAACGUAACUGGGUGAUUAUAAAGGUGCUCUACAGGUGUCUCCAAAGGAACAUGUUGGGUUGGCGUAUUUCGAGAUUAGGAUUUGUCACUCCGAUUGUCGGAGAGGUAUCUCUGGGCCCUCUCGGUAAUGCACAUCACUUAAGCCUUGCAAGCAUUGCAACUAAUGAGUUAGUUGCGGGAUGAUGUAUUACAGAACAAGUAAAGAGACUUGCCGGUAACAAGAUUGAACUAGGUAUGGGAUACCGACGAUCGAAUCUUGGGCAAGUAACAUACCGAUGACAAAGGGAACAACGUAUGUUGUUAUGCGGUCUGACCAAUAAAAGAUCUUCGUAGAAUAUGUAGGAGCCAAUAUGAGCAUCCAGGUUCCGCUAUUGGUUAUUGACCGGAGACGUGUCUCGAUCAUGUCUACAUUGUUCUCGAACCCGUAGGGUCCGCAUGCUUAAGGUUACGAUGACAGUUAUAUUAUGAGUUUAUGCAUUUUGAUGUACCGAAGGUUGUUCGGAGUCCCGGAUGUGAUCACGGACAUGACGAGGAGUCUCGAAAUGGUCGAGACAUAAAGAUUGAUAUAUUGGAAGCCUAUGUUUGGAUAUCGGAAGUGUUCCAGGUGAAAUCGGGAUUUUACCGGAGUACCGGGAGGUUACCGGAACCCCCCAGGAGGUAUAUGGGCCUUAGUGGGCCUUAGUGGAAGAGAGGAGAGGUGGCCAGAGAUGGGAUGCGCGCCCCUCCCCCCUUGGUCCGAAUUGGACAAGGAGAGGGGGCCGGGCCCCCUUCCUCCUCUCUCUCCUCUUCCCCCCUCCACGAAUCCUAUUCCAACUAGGAAAGGGGGGGGGGGUCCUACUCCCAGAGGGAGUAGGACUCCUCCUGGCGCGCCUCUCCUGGCCGGCCGGCCCCCUCCCUUGAACCUUUAUAUACGGAGGCAUGGGCACCCCCUAGAGACACAAGUUGAUCCACGUGAUCAUAUUCUUAGCCGUGUGCGGUGACCCCUUUCCACCAUAGUGCUCGAUAAUAUUGUAGCGGUGCUUAGGCGAAGCCCUGUGACGGUAGUACAUCAAGAUCGUCACCACGCCGUCGUGCUGACGGAACUCUUCCCCGACACUUUGCUGGAUCGGAGUCCAGGGAUCGUCAUCGAGCUGAACGUGUGCUAGAACUCGGAGGUGCCAAAGUUUCGGUGCUUGAUCGGUCGGGCCAUGGAGACGUACGACUACAUCAACCAAACGCUUCCGUUGUCGAUCUACAAGGGUACGUAGAUCAUACUCUCCCCUCUCGUUGCUAUGCAUCACCAUGAUCUUGCGUGUGCGUAGGAUUUUUUUUGAAAUUACUACGUUUCCCAACAGUGGCAUCCGAGCCUAGGUUUUAUAUGUUGAUAUUAUAUGCACGAGUAGAACACAAGUGAGUUGUGGGCGAUAUAAGUCAUACUGCUUACCAACAUGUCAUACUUUGGUUCGGUGGUAUUGUUGGACGAAGCGGCCCGGACCGACAUUACGCGUACGCUUACGCGAGACCGGUUCUCCCGACGUGCUUUGCACAUAGGUGGCUUGCGGGUGACAGUUUCUCCAACUUUAGUUGAACCGAGUGUGGCUACGCCCGGUCCUUGCGAAGUUUAAAACAGCACCAACUUGACAAACUUUCAUUGUGGUUUUGAUGCGUAGGUAAGAUUGGUUCUUGCUUAAAGCCCGUAGCAGCCACGUAAAACAUGCAACAACAAAGUAGAGGACGUCUAACUUGUUUUUGCAGGGCAUGUUGUGAUGUGAUAUGGUCAAGACAUGAUGCUAAAUUUUAUUGUAUGAGAUGAUCAUGUUUUGUAACUGAGUUAUCGGCAACUGGCAGGAGCCAUAUGGUUGUCGCUUUAUUGUAUGCAAUGCAAUCGCGCUGUAAUGCUUUACUUUAUCACUAAGCGGUAGCGAUAGUCGUGGAAGCAUAAGAUUGGCGAGACGGCAACGAUACUACGAUGGAGGUCAAGGUGUCGCGCCGGUGACGAUGGUGAUCACGACGGUGCUUCGGAGAUGGAGAUCACAAGCACAAGAUGAUGAUGGCCAUAUCAUAUCACUUAUAUUGAUUGCAUGUGAUGUUUAUCUUUUAUGCAUCUUAUCUUGCUUUGAUUGACGGUAGCAUUAUAAGAUGAUCUCUCACUAAAUUUCAAGAUAAAAGUGUUCUCCCUGAGUAUGCACCGUUGCCAAAGUUCGUCGUGCCCAGACACCGCGUGAUGAUCCGGUGUGAUAAGCUCUACGUCCAUCUACAACAGGUGCAAGCCAGUUUUGCACACACAGAAUACUCAGGUUAAACUUGACGAGCCUAGCAUAUGCAGAUAUGGCCUCGGAACACCGAGAUCGAAAGAUCGAGCGUGAAUCAUAUAGUAGAUAUGAUCAACAUAGCGAUGUUCACCAUUGAAAACUACUCCAUUUCACGUGAUGAUCGGUUAUGGUUUAGUUCAUUUGGAUCACGUGAUCACUUAGAUGAUUAGAGGGAUGUCUAUUUAAGUGGGAGUUUAAGUAAUAUGAUUAAUUGAACCUAAAUUUAUCAUGAACUUAGUACCUGAUAGUAUCUUGCUUGUUUAUGUAUGAUUGUAGAUAAAUGGCCCGUGUUGUUGUUGCGUUGAAUUUUAAUGCGUUCCUUGAGAAAGCAAAGUUGAAAGAUGAUGGUAGCAAUUACACGGACUGGGGCCGUAACUUGAGGAUUAUCCUCAUUGCUGCACAGAAGAAUUACGUCCUGGAAGCACCGCUAGGUGCCAGGCCUGCUGCUGGAGCAACACCAGAUGUUGUGAACAUUUGGCAGAGCAAAGCUGAUGACUACUCGAUAGUUCAGUGUGCCAUGCUUUACGGCUUAGAAUCGGGACUUCAACGACGUUUUGAACAUCAUGGAGCAUAUGAGAUGUUCCAGGAGUUGAAGUUAAUAUUUCAAGCAAAUGCCCGGAUUGAGAGAUAUGAAGUCUCCAAUAAAUUCUAUAGCUGCAAGAUGGAGGAGAACAGUUCUGUCAGUGAGCAUAUACUCAAAAUGUCUGGGUAUAAUAAUCACUUGAUUCAGAUGGGAGUUAAUCUUCCAGAUGAUUGCGUCAUUGACAGAAUUCUCCAAUCACUGCCACCAAGCUACAAGAGCUUUGUGAUGAACUAUAAUAUGCAAGGGAUGAACAAUACUUUUCCCGAACUCUUCUCAAUGCUGAAAGCUGCAGAGGUAGAAAUCAAGAAGGAGCAUCAAGUGUUGAUGGUCAACAAGACCACUAGUUUCAAGAAAAAGGGCAAAGGGAAGAAGAAGGGGAACUUCAAGAAGAAAAGCAAGCAAGUUGCUGAUCAGGAGAAGAAACCCAAAUCUGGACCUAAGCCUGAAACUGAGUGCUUCUACUGCAAGCAGACUGGUCACUGGAAGCGGAACUGCCCCAAGUAUUUGGCGUAUAAGAAGGAUGGCAAGGUGAACAAAGGUAUAUGUGAUAUACAUGUUAUUGAUGUGCACCUUACUAGAGCUCGCAGUAGCACCUGGGUAUUUGAUACUGGUUCUGUUGCUAAUAUUUGCAACUCGAAACAGGGACUACGGAUUAAGCGAACACUGGCAAAGGACGAGGUGAUGAUGCGCGUGGGAAAUGGUUCUAAAGUCGAUGUGAUCGCGGUCGGCACGCUACCUCUACAUCUACCUUCGGGAUUAAUAUUAGACCUAAAUAAUUGUUAUUUGGUGCCUGCGUUGAGCAUGAACAUUAUAUCUGGAUCUUGUUUAAUGCGAGACGGUUAUUCAUUUAAAUCAGAGAAUAAUGGUUGUUCUGUUUAUAUGAGUAAUAUCUUUUAUGGUCAUGCACCUUUGAAGAGUGGUCUAUUUUCGAUGAAUCUCGAUAUUAGUGACACACAUAUUCAUAAUGUUGAAGCCAAAAGAUGUAGAGUUGAUAAUGAUAGUGCAACUUAUUUGUGGCACUGCCGUUUAGGUCAUAUCGGUGUAAAGCGCAUGAAGAAACUCCAUACCGAUGGACUUUUGGAACCUCUUGAUUAUGAAUCACUUGGUACUUGCGAACCAUGCCUUAUGGGCAAGAUGACUAAAACACCGUUCUCCGGUACAAUGGAGAGAGCAACAGAUUUGUUAGAAAUCAUACAUACAGAUGUAUGUGGUCCGAUGAAUGUUGAGGCUCGUGGCGGAUAUCGUUAUUUUCUCACCUUCACAGAUGAUUUAAGCAGAUAUGGGUAUAUCUACUUAAUGAAGCAUAAGUCUGAAACAUUUGAAAAGUUCAAAGAAUUUCAGAGUGAAGUUGAAAAUCAUCGUAACAAGAAAAUAAAGUUUCUGCGAUCUGAUCGUGGAGGAGAAUAUUUGAGUUACGAGUUUGGUCUACAUCUGAAACAAUGCGGAAUAGUUUCACAACUCACGCCACCCGGAACACCUCAGCGUAAUAUGGUGUCCGAACGUCGUAAUCGUACUUUACUUGAUAUGGUGCGAUCUAUGAUGUCUCUUACAAAUUUACCGCUAUCAUUUUGGGGUUAUGCUUUAGAGACGGCCGCGUUCACGUUAAAUAGGGCACCAUCAAAAUCCGUUGAGACGACACCUUAUGAACUGUGGUUUGGCAAGAAACCAAAGUUGUCGUUUCUUAAAGUUUGGGGCUGCGAUGCUUAUGUGAAAAAGCUUCAACCUGAUAAACUCGAACCCAAAUUGGAGAAAUGUGUCUUCAUAGGAUACCCAAAGGAGACUGUUGGGUACACCUUCUAUCACGGAUCCGAAGGCAAGACAUUCGUUGCUAAGAAUGGAUCCUUUCUAGAGAAGGAGUUUCUCUCGAAAGAAGUGAGUGGGAGGAAAGUAGAACUUGAUGAGGUAACCGUACCUGCUCCCUUAUUGGAAAGUGGUGCAUCACAGAAAACUGUUUCUGUGACACCUACACCAAUUAGUGAGGAAGCUAAUGAUAAUGAUCAUGAAACUUCAGAACAAGAUACUACUGAACCUCGUAGAUCAACCAGAGUGAGAUCCGCACCAGAGUGGUACGGUAAUCCUGUUCUGGAAAUCAUGCUACUAGAUCAUGAUGAACCUACGAACUAUGAAGAAGUGAUGGUGAGCCCAGAUUCCGUAAAAUGGCUUGAGGCCAUGAAAUCUGAGAUGGGAUCCAUGUAUGAGAACAAAGUAUGGACUUUGGUUGACUUGCCCGAUGAUCGGCAAGCAAUUGAGAAUAAAUGGAUCUUCAAGAAGAAGACUGACGCUGACGGUAAUAUUACUGUCUACAAAGCUUGACUUGUCGCAAAAGGUUUUCGACAAGUUCAAGGGGUUGACUAUGAUGAGACCUUCUCACCCGUAGCGAUGCUUAAGUCUGUCCGAAUCAUGUUAGCAAUUGCCGCAUUUUAUGAUUAUGAAAUUUGGCAGAUGGAUGUCAAAACUGCAUUCCUGAAUGGAUUUCUGGAAGAAGAGUUGUAUAUGAUGCAACCGGAAGGUUUUGUCGAUCCAAAGGGAGCUAACAAAGUGUGCAAGCUCCAGCGAUCCAUUUAUGGACUGGUGCAAGCCUCUCGGAGUUGGAAUAAAUGCUUUGAUAGUGUGAUCAAAGCAUUUGGUUUUAUACAGACUUUUGGAGAAGCCUGUAUUUACAAGAAAGUGAGUGGGAGCUCUGUAGCAUUUCUGAUAUUAUAUGUGGAUGACAUAUUACUGAUUGGAAAUGAUAUAGAAUUUCUAGAUAGCAUAAAGGGAUAUUUGAAUAAGAGUUUUUCAAUGAAAGACCUCGGUGAAGCUGCUUACAUAUUAGGCAUAAAGAUCUAUAGAGAUAGAUCAAGACGCUUAAUUGGACUUUCACAAAGCACAUACCUUGACAAGAUUUUGAAGAAGUUCAAAAUGGAUCAAGCAAAGAAAGGGUUCUUGCCUGUGUUACAAGGUGUGAAGUUGAGUCAGAGUCAAUGCCCGACCACUGCAGAAGAUAGAGAGAAAAUGAAAGAUGUUCCCUAUGCGUCAGCCAUAGGCUCUAUCAUGUAUGCAAUGCUAUGUACCAGACCUGAUGUGUGCCUUGCUAUAAGUCUAGCAGGGAGGUACCAAAGUAAUCCAAGAGUGGAUCACUGGACAGCGGUCAAGAACAUCCUGAAGUACCUGAAAAGGACUAAGGAUAUGUUUCUCGUAUAUGGAGGUGACAAAGAGCUCAUCGUAAACGGUUACGUUGAUGCAAGCUUUGACACUGAUCCGGACGAUUCUAAAUCGCAAACCGGAUACGUGUUUACAUUAAACGGUGGAGCUGUCAGUUGGUGCAGUUCUAAACAGAGCGUCGUGGCGGGAUCUACGUGUGAAGCGGAAUACAUAGCUGCUUCGGAAGCAGCGAAUGAAGGAGUCUAGAUGAAGGAGUUCAUAUCCGAUCUAGGUGUCAUACCUAGUGCAUCGGGUCCAAUGAAAAUCUUUUGUGACAAUACUGGUGCAAUUGCCUUGGCAAAGGAAUCCAGAUUUCACAAGAGAACCAAGCACAUCAAGAGACGCUUCAAUUCCAUCCGGGAUCUAGUCCAGGUGGGAGAUAUAGAGAUUUGCAAGAUACAUACGGAUCUGAAUGUAGCAGACCCGUUGACUAAGCCUCUUCCACGAGCAAAACAUGAUCAACACCAAGGCUCCAUGGGUGUUAGAAUCAUUACUGUGUAAUCUAGAUUAUUGACUCUAGUGCAAGUGGGAGACUGAAGGAAAUAUGCCCUAGAGGCAAUAAUAAAGUUAUUAUUUAUUUCCUUAUAUCAUGAUAAAUGUUUAUUAUUCAUGCUAGAAUUGUAUUAACCGGAAACAUAAUACAUGUGUGAAUACAUAGACAAACAGAGUGUCACUAGUAUGCCUCUACUAGACUAGCUAGUUAAUCAAAGAUGGUUAUGUUUCCUAACCAUGGACAAAGAGUUGUUAUUUGAUUAACGGGAUCACAUCAUUAGGUGAAUGAUCUGAUUGACAUGACCCAUUCCAUUAGCUUAGCACCCGAUCAUUUAGUAUGUUGCUAUUGCUUUCUUCAUAACUUAUACAUGUUCCUAUGACUAUGAGAUUAUGCAACUCCCGUUUACCAGAGGAACACUUUGUGUGCAACCAAACGUCACAACGUAACUGGGUGAUUAUAAAGGUGCUCUACAGGUGUCUCCAAAGGAACAUGUUGGGUUGGUGUAUUUCGAGAUUAGGAUUUGUCACUCUGAUUGUCGGAGAGGUAUCUCUGGGCCCUCUCGGUAAUGCACAUCACUUAAGCCUUGCAAGCAUUGCAACUAAUGAGUUAGUUGCGGGAUGAUGUAUUACAGAACGAGUAAAGAGACUUGCCGGUAACAAGAUUGAACUAGGUAUGGGAUACCGACGAUCGAAUCUCGGGCAAGUAACAUACCGAUGACAAAGGGAACAACGUAUGUUGUUAUGCGGUCUGACCGAUAAAAGAUCUUCGUAGAAUAUGUAGGAGCCAAUAUGAGAAUCCAGGUUCCGCUAUUGGUUAUUGACCGGAGACGUGUCUCGGUCAUGUCUACAUUGUUCUCGAACCCGUAGGGUCCGCAUGCUUAAGGUUACGAUGACAAUUAUAUUAUGAGUUUAUGCAUUUUGAUGUACCGAAGGUUGUUCGGAGUCCCGGAUGUGAUCACGGACAUGACGAGGAGUCUCGAAAUGGUCGAGACAUAAAUAUUGAUAUAUUGGAAGCCUAUGUUUGGAUAUCGGAAGUGUUCCAGGUGAAAUCGGGAUUUUACCGGAGUACCGGGAGGUUACCGGAACCCCCCGGGAGGUAUAUGGGCCUUAGUGGGCCUUAGUGGAAGAGAGGAGAGGUGGCCAGAGAUGGGACGCGCGCCCCUCCCCCCCUUGGUCCGAAUUGGACAAGGAGAGGGGGCCGGCCCCCCUUCCUCCUCUCUCUCCUCUUUCCCCCCCUCCACGAAUCCUAUUCCAACUAGGAAAGGCGCGCCUCUCCUGGCCGGCAGGCGCCUCUCCUGGCCAGCAGGCCCCCCUCCCUUGAACCUUUAUAUACGGAGGCAGGGGCACCCCCUAGAGACACAAGUUGAUCCACGUGAUCAUAUUCUUAGCCGUGUGCGGUGCCCCCUUCCACCAUAGUCCUCGAUAAUAUUGUAGCGGUGCUUAGGCGAAGCCCUGUGACGGUAGUACAUCAAGAUCGUCACCACGCCGUCGUGCUGACGGAAAUCUUCCCCGACACUUUGCUGGAUCGGAGUCCGGGGAUCGUCAUCGAGCUGAACGUGUGCUAGAACUCGGAGGUGCCAUAGUUUCGGUGCUUGAUCGGUCGGGCCGUGGAGACGUACGACUACAUCAACCAAACGCUUCCGUUGUCGAUCUACAAGGGUACGUAGAUCAUACUCUCCCCUCUCAUUGCUAUGCAUCACCAUGAUCUUGCGUGUGCGUAGGAAUUUUUUUGAAAUUACUACGUUUCCCAACAGAGAGUCAGGUUUCGAUCAUGUGGAACUUAUGGGUUAUGGGCCCACCAUGUGGGUUAAAACAAGGAAGGGCGUUAACAGCUGAUACGUCUCCAACGUAUCUAUAAUUUUUGAUUGCUUGCUAUAUUACCUACUGUUUUGGACUAUAUUGGGCUUUAUUUUCCACUUUUAUAUUAUUUUUGGGACUAACCUAUUAACCGGAGGCCCAGCCCAGAAUUGCUGUUUUUUGCCUAUUUCAGUGUUUUGGAGAAACAGAAUAUCAAGUGGGGUCCAAACGGAACGAAACCUUUGGGAGCGCGAUUUUCUCAUCAGAUAAGACCCAAGAGACUUGGACCCUCCGUCAAGAAAGCCACGAGGCAGUCAUGAGGGUGGAGGGCGCCCCCCCUAGGGCGCGCCCCCUGCCUCGUGGGCCCCUCGAAGCUCCACCGACGUAUUCCUUCCUCCUAUAUAUACCUACGUACCCCCAAACGAUCAGAUAUGGAGCCAAAAACCUAAUUCCACCACCGCAACUUUCUGUAUCCACGAGAUCCCAUCUUGGGGCCUGUUCCGGAGCUCUGACGGAGGGGGCAUCGAUCACGGAGGGCUUCUACAUCAUCAUCCAAGCCCCUCCGAUGAAGUGUGAGUAGUUCACUUCAGACCUACGGGUCCAUAGUUAGUAGCUAGAUGGCUUCUUCUCUCUUUUUGGAUCUCAAUACAAUGUUCUCCCCCUCUCUCAUGGAGAUCUAUUCGAUGUAAUCUUCUUUUUGCGGUGUGUUUGUUGAGACCGAUGAAUUGUGGGUUUAUGAUCCAGUCUAUCUAUGAAUAAUAUUUGAAUCUUCUCUGAAUUCUUUUAUGUAUCAUUUGUUAUCUUUGUAAGUCUCUUCAAAUUAUCAGUUUGGUUUGGCCUACUAGAUUGGUUUUUCUUACCAUGGGAGAAGUGCUUAGCUUUGGGUUCGAUCUUGCGGUGUCCUUUCCCAGUGACAGAAGGGGCAGCAAGGCAUGUAUUGUAUUGUUGCCAUCGAGGAUAACAAGAUGGUUUUUUUAUCAUAUUGCAUGAAACUAUCCCUCUACAUCAUGUCAUCUUGCUUAAGGCGUUACUCUGUUUUUAACUUAAUACUCUAGAUGCAUGCUGGAUAGCGGUCGAUGAGUGGAGUAAUAGUAGUAGACGUAGGCAGGAGUCGGUCUACUUGUGUCGGACGUGAUGCCUAUAUACAUGAUCAUACCUAGAUAUUCUCAUAACUAUGCUCAAUUCUGUCAAUUGCUCAACAGUAAUUUGUUCACCCACCGUAGAAUACUUAUGCUCUUGAGAGAAGCCACUAGUGAAACCCAUGGCCCCCGGGUCUCUUUCUCAUCAUAUCAAUCUCCAUCACUUUAUUAUUGCUUUGCUUUUUACUUUUCACUUUGCGUCUCUAUACCAAAAAUACCAAAAAUAUUAUUUAUCAUCUCUAUCAGAUCUCACUUUCGUAAGUGACCGUGAAGGGAUUGACAACCCCUAAGCACGUUGGUUGCGUUGAGCUACUGUUUUUGUGUAGGUACGAGGAACUCACGCGUAGCCUCCUACUGGACUGAUACCUUGGUUCUCAAAAAUUGAGGGUAAUACUUACGCUACUUUACUGCAUCAUCCUCUCCUCUUCGGGGAAAUCCAACGCAGUGCUCAAGAGGUAGCAACAACUUGCAUGACCAUGAUAGCAAGGCAUGUCAGAGAAUAUCCGGUCAGUUAUGUUGGCAACAUCGUUGGUACCAAGGGCGAGGGACGAAGAGAACCAUUUUCCUACUCGUUGAACGAGGCAGACCAAUAGGCAAAGUUCUCAUCCGUCGGUGGUUACCGGAAUGUCAUCAACAAUAGUAACAGGUCCUUACUGACAGAGUUGUACACCAAGGUGUUUACAUAAGCAGGAGAAUAUUACUGCUUAGAUCAUAUAGAUCACCAGAAAGGUUAAACAAAUCAAUGAAAAGGAAAAGGUGACCAUCAGAUUAAACAAAACAAUGGAAAGGAAAAUGUGUUUAAACACAUUUUUCAGGGGUAUAUCCUUCACAAGGACAAGCAAAGAAUGGUAUCCAUGACAGGAUAUAACGUAGAAAACCCUUUAGGAAAGGGGAGAGGAAUUUCAUGACAUUACCCAUUGAUACGUCUCCAACGUAUCUAUAAUUUUUUUAUUAUUCCAUGCUAUUAUAUUAUCUGUUUUGGAUGUUUAAUGGGCUUUAUUAUACACUUCUAUAUUAUUUUUGGGACUAACCUACUAACCCAAGGCCCAGUGCAAAUUGCUGUUUUUUGCCUAUUUCAGUGUUUCGCAGAAAAGGGAUAUCAAACAGAAGCCAAACGGAAUGAAACCUUCAGGAGAGUUAUUUUUGGAACAAACGUGAUCCAGGAGACUUGGAGUAGACGUCAAGAAAGAAGCGAGGUGGCCACAAGGCAAGGAGGCACGCUUGCCCCCCUGGGUGCGCCCCCUCCCUCAUGGGCCCCUCGCAGCUCCACCGACCUACUUCUUCCUCCUAUAUAUAUCCAUAUACCCCGAAAACAUCCAGGAGCACCAUGAAACCCUAUUUCCACCGCCGCAACCUUCUGUACCCAAGAGAUCCCAUCUUGGGGCCUUUUUCGGAGCUCCGACGGAGGGGGAAUCGAUCACGGAGGGCUUCUAUGUCAACACCAUAGCCUCUCCGAUGAUGGGUGAGUAGUUUACCACAGACCUUUGGGUCCAUAGUUAUUUGCUAGAUGGCUUCUUCUCUCUCUUUGGAUCUCAAUACAAAGUUCUCUUCGAUCUUCUUGGAGAUCUGUUUGAUCUAACUCUUGCGGUGUGUUUUACGAGAUCCGAUGAAUUGUGGGUUUAUGAUCAAGUUUAUCUAUGAAGAAUAUUUGAUUCUUCUCUAAAAUGUUUUAUGUAUGAUUGGUUAUCUUUGCAAGUCUCUUCGAAUUAUCAGUUUGGUUUGGUCUACUAGAUUGAUCUUUCUUGCAAUGGGAGAAGUGCUUAGCUUUUGGUUCAAUCUUGCGGUGUCCUUUCCCAGUGACAGCAGGGGCAGCAAGGCACGUAUUGUAUUGUUGCCAUCGAGGAUAAAAAGAUGGGGUUUAUAUCAUAUUGCUUGAGUUUAUCCCUCUACAUCAUGUCAUCUUGCCUAAUGCGUUACUCUGUUCUUAUGAACUUAAUACUCUAGAUGCAUGCUGGAUAGUGGUCCCUGUGUGGAGUAAUAGUAGUAGAUGCAGAAUCGUUUCGGUCUACUUGUCACGAACGUGAUGACUAUAUACAUGAUCAUGCCUAUAUAUUCUCAUAAUUAAGCACUUUUCUAUCAAUUGCUCGACAGUAAUUUGUUCACCCACCGUAAUACUUAUGCUAUCUUGAGAGAAGCCACUAGUGAAACCUAUGGCCCCCGGGUCUAUCUUUUAUCAUAUAAGUUUCCAAUUUACUUUGCAAUCUUUACUUUCGAUCUAUAUCAUAAAAAUACCAAAAAUAUUUAUCUUAUUAUCUCUAUCAGAUCUCACUCUCGUAAGUGACCAUGAAGGGAUUGACAACCCCUUUAUCGCGUUGGUUGCGAGGUUCUUAUUUGUUUGUGUAGGUACGAGGGACUUGCGUGUAGUCCCCUACUGGAUUGAUACCUUGGUUCUCAAAAACUAAGGGAAAUACUUACACUACUUUGCUGCAUCACCCUUUCCUCUUCAAGGGAAAACCAACGCAGUGCUCAAGAGGUAGCCCCCAUACAACGGUGUUUGGAUAAUUGAUAAAGAAAUUUUAGCAUUGUGCUUCAAAUGUUCUUAUUGAAAAUCAUAGUACCACAGACAUGCUUCGAGAUAGCAUUAACAUGGUCAUUAGGUGAAGAUCAGACUUUGGAAACACAAAGGAUCCAUCAGGAACAACGUAUAGAAUAAGCGUUACAAUUUCCUCGGGGAAUAAUGGAUAACCUUGCUAAAAAGGAAACUAUAACAAUAGGUCCUUCGGCCAGGUGUGUUAGGCAUGACCUCACCUUACUGGUUCAUAUAAAGACCAAUUAUUAUAACUCUUGGAAAUAUGUUCCAACCAUCAUAUCUGACCAAGAUUCAAAUCUGAUUGGUGUUAGGAUACCUCAGACUCAUGAUGCCUCAGAAGGAAUGGGUGCAACACAGUUUGACGAGAUGGCGUUGCGAGAUUCUCGGGAAAUGAACUAUGGAAGCAAGUUCUUAAUCAUGAGUUCAUCAUUAAACCAAGGAGAGGAUGAGAUGGCUGAUGGACUCAGCAACAAUUCAUUGAGAUUUCCAAAAAUAUGGAUUUCCACGAUUAUGUGAACAAGGGAUAACAUUUGUCAGAUCAAAUGAUAUAAUGAUGUAUGCUCGAGGAGAACAUCCAAGAGCAAACAUUGGUUGAAAGGUGCACCCGAAAUAUGGGCUUAGGUAGCAUGAUCAAUGUUAGUAUGGUUAUUUGAUAACCAAUACACAAAGAAUGAAACUAUCAUUCAUUAACUUACAAGAAACAGGGUUGCUAGAAGUUUUGAAAAUUUCACAUCACAGUCCAUUUGUCAGUAUUCUGGUUGGAAAUAAUGCCGGGACUAAGGAAUGAAGGGAGAUGGCAAGAAGUAUCACUUGUAUCAAGAAUUUUUAAGAGGUGGUGAAAUUCUCAGGACAUUCUUGACAUAAAAGAUGGUAAUACUCCAAGGUAAAGAAGAACAAAUGCUAGAUAGCAAGGAUCUCAAGGUAUAACACAAAACAUGAACAAGUUUGUGUUGAACGGAAGGCAAUAAAGUGGUCGAUGAUAACACAAAUAAUUUAGGGCAAGGAUGGUAUUUCUCAUCAUGAAUUCAAUUGAUAUCCUGGAAGAGCUCAGAAUGCUGAUGAUGAUCAUGACACAUUUGUCGAGAGAUUUCAUGAAGAUGUAAUCGAUCGGCGAUGGCAUCAAGUCAAAGGAAUGAUGAAGCGAAUGGCUAUUGGAACCAUGAGUACGGCACAAACUCGAAAUUGAGUUUGUUUUUCAAGGAGAAAUUAUAUGACAAGGAAAAUCUAUGUAAGAUUAGCUCACCGUUGAAAUUUGUGCUAUAGGAAGAAGGACCAGGUAGCACAGUUAAAAUCAGCACGAUAAUGAUAUAGCCGAUUGGGCUAGGAAUGACUUGAAGGAUUAUUAAACUCAUAGGCAACAAAAAUUACUUAGGGUUAUCGAACCGGAAUGCGGAAUCUGUUCACAUAUCAGUGUUCUCGGUUGACGACAACCCAGAACCCAUGAAAAAUUGGAAUCAGUGAGAAAUAAUAGCUGAUGAAGACUCAUAAGAUGCAACACAGUUCUUAGAUAUUCUCGAGAUACCAGAGGGUAAUACUCGACGGUAGAUCAAAGUAGAGGUUGGACUGGUGUAAUGACUUGCAAAAGACAAGUGCUUUAACUUGUCCGAGAAAUGGGAUCAAAGAAGAGCAUGGUCGAAACCACGAUUGCAAAGGAUCAAUUCACUGAUACCAAAUGAUAUUAUAUCAAGGAAAUAUUUUUUAUUACAAGAAGCUUCCAUGAUAGGAUCUACAUCAUGUCCGUGGGCAUGAACACAAGUUCAAGGUCGACUCCCACCUCUUCAAUGUAUAACCUUCCAUUCACCUCUCUCUUUCUGAAAAUGACAUUAGUUGUUGAAAGUCUUACCUGGUACAAUACCAGAUAAGUAUGACCCGUGAAAUAUUUCGGGUUCACACAGAUUAAGGAAGGCAUAGGUUCAACCCAUCGGGGCAUCGUAGAAACAUAUGCAACAAACAUCAGGAGUAAAUAACACAAGCUCGAAAGUAGAGCAUGGUUGACAAAGCAGAGGAUACAAUUUACCAAAGGCAUUAUGUAUUAGGGAAAGAACUUUCCAAGGUUUUUGUAAACGAAGGACAAUUUCAGAUGAUAAAUUUAACAAAGGAUCUGACGGUCCAUAACGGAGCUGAUGUGAACAUCGGUACCCAACCAAAAUAAGAAGGGAUGCAAGGAGAUCAGAUUAUAGAAACAACUGACUAAUUGAAACUCAAAUGCAAAGGAAUUAUGAUUUCCGAAUCAAAUGAUCAGAAGUAACACUCUGAUUAAGGAUGGAUAAGUUGGAUAGACUUAGGGGUACAAUCGAUGACAAUUUGAUUGGUCGAGAACCAGCUCACGUUCAAAAUGACGUCUGAGUCAGGAGGAUGAAUUCUAGGAUCUGUCUGAGGAUUGCGAGCAUUCGCAACAUAUUGAAUCAAGGGACUUAGACUGAUAGUGACAAAGAAUGUCAACGGAGAUUACCAGAAAUAUGAAAUUAACCAUAAUGCAUGAAGGCAAGAAAUUCAGGAUCAAUAGGCUGCUGAGGAUUUUCAGAAGAUCAAAUAGUUUCUCAAAGAACUUUGUGAAACACACGAACAAAUAGAUGAACAAAUCCUCGGUAAAUGUGAGGAAUUAUUCAUAGGGGUAUUCAUGCGGCAAAGAUCUGCAAGGCAGUAGGGACAAAGUACUCUUGAGCAAUAGAGAGAAUUUCGGGGUAUCUUGUAAUAACAAGAUCAACGGGGAAUGAUUGUAUGAAUGACAAGUGUACAUGGUUAUCCAAAAGGGUUUAGCAAUGGAAAGGAAUUGCUGAAACGAUGGCACAAAGUCUCAAUAGAACAUCAGAGAGUAUCUUCGGAAUCUUGUGGUGCAGCAGUCGAUCAUCGAUAAUAAGGUGCUCCCCGGGUGAAAGUGAUCACGCGAUCCUAAUGUUAGAUUUAGCAAAAUUCAUUUAAACCGAAUAGAAGAGAGAUCAAAGUCCCAAAGUAUAGACGAGAAAUAAAAGAUCCUGAUACAACCCAAUGGCAGCAUGGGCCCAUGGGCCGCACAACCAUGUUAGUAAAACAAUUUUCAUCGACUAGACUCGACCUUCAGCCAAGGAGUGUGGAAGGGGAUUCCUACAGGCAGUCGGCUCUGAUACCAACUUUUGACGCCCUCGAUUUUACCAUACACUAAUCAUACACGCAAAUGUGUACGAUCAUGAUCAAGGACUCACUGAAAGAUAUCACAACACAACUCUAGACACAAAUUAAAAUAAUACAAGCUUUAUAUUACAAGCCAGGGGCCUCGAGGGCUCGAACACAUAAGCUCGAAUACACGAGUCAGCGGAAGCAAUAAUAUCUAAGUACACACAUAAGUUAAACAAAUUUGCCUUAAGAAGGCUAGCACAAACUGGGAUACGGAUCGAAAGAGGCGCAUGUCUCAUGCCUGGGAUCCUCCUAAACUACUCCCAGUCAUCGUCAGUGGCCUGCACGUAGUAGUAGGCACCUCCAGUGUAGUACGAGUCAUCGUCGACGGUGGCAUUUGGCUCCUGGACUCCAACGUCUGGUCGCAACAACCGGGUAUAGAAAGGGGAAAAGGGGAAGCAAAGCAACCGUGAGUACUCAUCCCAAGUACUUGUAAGCAAGGAGCUACACUACAUAUGCAUUUGUAUCAAUGAAAGGGGUAGUAUAUGUGGACUGAACUGCAGAAUGCCAGAAUAAGAGGGGGAUAGCUAGUCCUAUCAAAGACUACGCUUCUGGCAGCCUCCAUCUUGAAGCAGUAGAAGAGAGUAGAUGGUAAGUUAACCAAGUAACAUCGCAUAGCAUAAUCCUACCCGAUGAUCCUCCCCUCGUCGCCCUAGGAGAGAGCGAUCACUGGGUUGUAUCUGGCACUUGGAAGGGUGUAUUUUAUUAAGUAUCUGGUUCUAGUUGUCAUAAGGUCAAGGUACAACUUCGGGUCAUCCUUUUACCGAGGGACACGACUAUUCGAAUAGAUAAACUUCCCUGUAGGGGUGCACCACAUUUCCCAACACGCUCGAUCCCCUUUGGCCGGACACACUUUCCUGGGUCAUGCCCGGCCUUGGAAGAUCAACAUGUCGCAGCCCUACCUAGGCACAACAGAGAGGUCAGCACGCCGGUCUAAAUCAUAUGGCGCAGGGGUCUGGGUGCAUCGCCCGUUGCACACCUGCAUGUUGCGAACGUGGCCGGAAGCAGACCUAGCCUCCCUAAUACAAGAGCAAGCGUUCCAGUCCAAUCCGGCGCGCGUCGCUCAGUCGCUGACGUCAAGAAGGCUUUGGCUAAUACCGCGACGUCGAGUGCCCAUAACUGUUCCCGCAUAGUUGGUUAGUGCGUAUAGGCUAGUGGCCAGACUCAGAUCAAAUACCAAGAUCUCGUUAAGCGUGUUAAUUGAUGUAACCGCGGACGCCGACCAGGGCCAGGCCCACCUCUCUCUCCUAGGUGGUCUCAACCUGCCCUGUCGCUCCGCCACAAAGUAAAAGUUAGGGGGCCAUCGGGAACUCAGGCCCACCACUACCUGGAUGGAGCCACCUAUCCUUUCAGCCCCCACAUCGGAAUCACUUGCGAGUACUCUACGAGCCGACCCAACUUUAGUCACCACAUGUAUCACAUAUUAUGUAUAUAAGUAUAUACCCGUGAUCACCUCCCAAGUGAUCACGACCCGAUAGUAUAGCAUGGCAGACGGACAAGAAUGUAGGGCCACUGAUGGAAUACUAGCGUCCUAUACUAAGCAUUUAGGAUUGCAGGUAGAGGUAACAAUAGUAGUAGCAAGGACAGGCUAUGCAUUAGAAUAGGAUUAACGGGAAGCAGUAACAUGCUACACUACUAUAAUGCAAGCAGUAGAGAGAAGAAUAGGCGAUAUCUGGUGAUCAGGGGGGGCUUGCCUGGUUGCUUUGGCAAGAAGGAAGGGUUGUCAACACCGUAGUCGAGCUGGGGGUCGCCGGCAGUCUCGGGGUCUACCAGAAAGAAGUAACAGAGGGGAAACACAAUAAAUAACAAAGCAAUCAAAGCAUCACAAAGUAUAACAUGGCAAUACGCGGUUCUAUGGGUGACCUAAUGCAGUACUAGGUGAUACCGCGAAGGAGGAAAACAUCCGGGAAAGUAUUCCCGAUGUUUCGCGUUUUCGGACAGAUGAACCGGAGGGGGAAAGUUGCAUGUUUGCUAUGCUAGGGAUGUGUGGCGGACGAACAGGCUGCGAUCUCAGAUUCGUCUCGUCGUUUUGAGAAACUUUCAUGUACAAAGUAUUUUCAUCCGAGUUACGAUUUAUUUUCUAUGAUUUCUCAAAGUUUUUAGGCAUUUUUGUAAGUUUAUUUAAUUAUUUAAAUGAAACAUUAUUCGGAAUAGUGAAAGGUGAUGUCAGCAUGACGCCACCAGGUCAAACCCAGCUGACCAGAGUCAAACCUGGCAUGUGGGUCCAGUGGGACCCACCUCUCAUAGACUAAGGCUAACUAAACAUGUUUAAUUAGUUUAGUUAAUUGAUUAGGUUAAUCAAACACAAUUAAUUUAAUUAAUUAAUUAAUUAAUAUUUUUAUUUAUUUAUUAUUAGUCUUAAUUCUUCUUUUUAAUUCUUUUUUUCUAAUCGUUCUGGGGUGGGGCCCCUUGUCAUAGGCCCUAGAGGCCUUAACGUGGAGGGCGCUGCGGNNNNNNNNNNNNNNNNNNNNNNNNNNNNNNNNNNNNNNNNNNNNNNNNNNNNNNNNNNNNNNNNNNNNNNNNNNNNNNNNNNNNNNNNNNNNNNNNNNNNNNNNNNNNNNNNNNNNNNNNNNNNNNNNNNNNNNNNNNNNNNNNNNNNNNNNNNNNNNNNNNNNNNNNNNNNNNNNNNNNNNNNNNNNAGGGGGCUGUGGGGCACCGGCGGCCACUCUAGGGCGGAUGCAGAGAACAGCGGGGCCAGGGCAGCACGCCGGCGUGGAGCAGCUGAGGGCAUGUGCGCGCGGUCUCGGCGAGGUGCGGGCACGGCGGCCGUCAACGGGGAAGGCGGGUGCGACACGGUGGCACGUAGUAGCAGCAGAAGGGGUGCAGCAGUUGAGGCCGCGGGCACGUGAGCGGCUGCCGGCAAACAAGGUCAGGCAGAGCGGGAGCGGGACGGGGUACGUCGUCUGGGCGCGAGGACGCGAGCGCGUGUGCGCGUGAUGGUGCGCUGAGCGCGGGGGGCAGGGCCACGGCACGGCCAACGACGGCUACAAGGCGAGUCGGGCACGGUGGCUGGCGAGCAGCAGUGAAGGUGGUGGAGGGGGCCGCGGUAGACGCGGGGCAGAGGGAGAGACGGAGGAGGGUGAGGCCCUCACCGGCAAUGUAGAGACCAGGGGGCGGCGAGGCUCGAGGUGGCCUUUGGGGAGGAGGACGGGGAUGCAAGUUCCGAGGGCGUUGGUCGGCGACGAGCGUCGGCGGAGUGGCUCUGGGCGGCGUCGGCGGCGGUUCCUCGGGCGUGGGCGCGAUCGGGCGGCCGUGUACGGCGAGGCAACGGCGGGGGAUGGCUAUGGCAUGGGAGUGGUUGCGGAGGUGAGUGCAGGGGAGGGUGAGGCGAGCUCGGGGGAGGGGCAGGGUGUGGCCGGCGGGAGGAGCUGCGGGGUCGAGCGGGAGCGCUCAUGCUCAUCCUUGGCGGCGCGAGGUGGGUGGGGGUCGAGGGGAUCGUGCAGAUAGGGAGUGGGGGCGAGAGGUGCGAGGGUCUAGGGUUCGGUUGUAGGGAGGUUAUUGGGCAGUGGUGGGCCGACUGGGUGUGCGACCAGCUGGGCUGUGGCCUAGUUCGACCAGGGGCACUUUUCCUUUUUAUAUUACUUCAUUUUGUUUUUUAUUUAUUCUUUUUUGAUUUAUUUUUGUUUCUAUUUAUUUUAGUUUUAAGAAAAUACAAAAGUGACACCUAAUUUAGUGUUCAAAUUGUGCCUUUGCAACUAUUAAUUUAGCUCUUCAAAAUAAAAUGGUUUGUAAUAGUUUAUUCUUUUUAAAACCAUUUAAGUAAUUGUUUAGCCCCUGUUUUAAUUAAUUUCUUGCAUCUAAACAUUUUAUCAAAAUGUGGUUUCAUCAGCAUAAUUACCUAUGCAUUAUAUGUGUGACGCCCCCAUUUAAUCGUACACUAAUCAUACACGCGAACGUGUACGAUCAAGAUCAGGGACUCACGGGAAGAUAUCACAACACAACUCUACAAAUAAAAUAAGUCAUACAAGCAUCAUAUUACAAGCCAGGGGCCUCGAGGGCUCGAAUACAAGAGCUCAAUCAUAGACGAGUCAGCGGAAGCAACAAUAUCUAAGUACAGACAUAAGUUAAACAAGUUUGCCUUAAGAAGGCUAGCACAAACUAGGAUACAGAUCGAAAGAGGCGCAGGCCUCCUGCUUGGGAUCCUCCUAAACUACUCCUAGUCGCCGUCAGCGGGCUGCACGUAGUAGUAGGCACCUCCCGAGUAGUAGUAGUCGUCGUCGAAGGUGGCGUCUGGCUCCUGGGCUCCAACAUCUGGUUGCGACAACCAGCUAGAAGGGAUAGGGGGAAAAGAGGGAGAAAGCAACCGUGAGUACUCAUCCAAAGUACUCGCAAGCAAGGAGCUACACUACAUAUGUAUGCAUUGGUAUCAACUGGAAUAAGGCUAUUAUAUGUGGACUGAACUGCAGAAAGCCAGGAUAAGGGGGGAUAGCUAGUCCUUUCGAAGACUACGCUUCUGGUAGCCUCCGUCUUGCAGCAUGUAGAAGAGAGUAGACUGAAGUCCUCCAAGUAUCAUCACAUAGCAUAAUCCUAACCGAUGAUCCUCCCCUCGUCGCCCUGUGAGAGAGCGAUCACCAGUUGUAUCUGGCACUUGGAAGGGUGUGUUUUAUUAAGUAUCCGGUUCUAGUUGUCAUAAGGUCAAGGUACAACUCCAAGUCGUCCUCUUACCGAAGAUCACGGCUAUUCAAAUAUAUUAACUUCCCUGUAGGGGUGCACCACAUAUCCCAACACGCUCGAUCCCAUUUGGCCGGACACACUUUCCUGGGUCAUGCCCGGCCUCGGAAGAUCAACACGUCGCAGCCCUACCUAGGCACAACAGAGAGGUCAGCACGCCGGUCUAAAUCCUAUGGCGCAGGGGUCUGGGCCCAUCGCCCAUUGCACACCUGCAUGUUGUGUACGCGGCCGGAAGCGGAACUAGCCCCCUUAAUACAAGAGCAGGCUUACGGUCCAAUCCGGCGCGCGCCACUCAGUCGCUGACGUCACGAAGGCUUCGGCUGAUACCACGACGUCGAGUGCCCAUAACUGUCCCCGCGUAGAUGGUUAGUGCGUAUAGGCCAGUAGCUAGACUCAGAUCAAAUACCAAGAUCUCGUUAAACGUGUUAAGUAUCCGCUAGCUAUUGAAGCGGCAGUGUGACGUCGGCCCACUGCGGAAUGGGAGCCACCUAACUAUGAUUCGGUGAAGGUUCCACCUUCCUUCCACAAAUAUAGUUAUAGUAGUUCCACUCGAUGUGGAUCACGCCCAUGCUUGCUCAGCUCCAGGAUCAGGCUCCUAAACCCAUUUUCAAUAAUUAAGUCAUCUGGUCUAUGUUGUUGGAGUUCCGCAUGAUGCCUUAAUCCCACCUCUUUGUCUAAGGAAUAGCCUUUUCUUCUUUUCUUUAUUGUUCGUGGGAACAUGUAAGAUUAGCAAUGGAAAUUUAGCUACGGCCGUCCCUUCCUCAAGCAAACAACGCGAGACUUAGUUAACGAAACAGGAACUCCAUUCCUUGACACGAAUUUCUGAUACAGAAGUGGAAUCGAAAAAAUGCGGGAAAAAUGCACAUUCAAUAUUGAGAAAAUGUUGCGUAACUGCCCUUGCCUCAAGGUCUUGAGAAACCAGAAACUAGUGUUCGAUGGCCCAACAAAUCCUAUUGGUUUUCGCAGGGGAUGUCAUUUUUACAAGCUUUCGCAUGCUGAGCGUGACUAUGGAUUUUAUAUAGUUAUGGAAUAACCUUCUUAUCCGCGAGUUCUUCGGCCAAAGACUCCUGAUAUCGCUUGUUGGGCCCUUGAUUCCGAAGUACCAGUACCGAAGGCAGACUUGAAUGCAUUAGGUUGGGAAGCGGCCUAGAAGGUGCUUAAAGAUAGGUGACAGUUGUGAAAGUUUAGUCAACUUGUCGGCAGCAACUGACCUUUCUUUCAUCAAAAGUAGGAAUGAAAGCUGGCAUGCAGAUAAGGAAAUCUCUUUUCUUCUCUUCUACUCGGCUACGGACUUUCUAAAAGGAGAAGCAAUAAAUACAAAAGUGCUAGGUUUGGAUUUGAGUGAGAUCCCGGAUCGGUAGCUUCAGAUAUCCCCUCAGACUGGAAUGAGAAUUUCGAUAGAUUUCUUUGCUUUAAAGCAUAGUUGCAGGUAGGUUAUGCUCCUUUGCUUCAUCCCUAUAGUCUAAGGAUUGCCAAUCAAAUAGUAGCAGUAGACUAGCCAUAUUCAUCUUCUACAGUCUCCUGUUUCCCCCUAUUUAAAAUGGUAAGCCUACGCAGCAGAAAAAAAAGGCGCUCUAAUCGUACUCGAGCCCUUAAUCCCCCAAUAGGGCUUACUUACCCGAGUCAAUGCUUUCCUUCCUGUGCGAAAGCAAGGCCUCUUUCUCGACUUUACUUGAAUGCCAUUUACUGAGCUAUCUUCUUUUUUCUUCUUCUGGCGAAAGCACAUUUUAUUAUUUUACGGAAGCAAGAUGAAAGGUCAUUUCGCCAAUCUGGGGAAUAACAGUUAAAGCAAUCGAUCGGAGAAGCCCUCCCUAGUAUUGAGAAUGAAAAAGUGGAUUCAUUCCCCAGGCGUGUGUGUGUGCUUUCCACGGGCCUGAUCUCGAUUUCUUCUUAAGCUGUUAUGUCCUCCGAAGUGAAGUGGAUUGGUCGGAAGCUAGACUCCAACAACAUCGAUACUCAAAUAACCGACUCUCAUACAUGGCUUAGAACCUUCAAUCUUUAGCCAUUAUUCCCAGUUCAGGUGGUUAGGUACCAAAAGUUAUAAAUAGGCCCAAUUUCUCCUUUUAUACUAGAUUUCCUUAACAAGGGCAUCCAAUUCUUGAAACAAGUCACGCUCCCUUCUCUUUCCACUUUCACUUUCAUGCCCAGUUCUUUUUCGACUUGGCAAUCGUAGCAAUUUAUGUAAAGCCUCCUGAUCCGGAGAAACAUGCUCGAUACAUUCUAGUGAACUACGAAGAGAAGCUAGAACGGUGGAAGCCUGAAUCCAGUGAGUGCCCAUUCUUAAUAAACUUGGGAAUAGUAGCUCCUAUGGUUUCUAGAGCGAGUGAAUGAAACACUAUCUUCUUAUGAGCGGAGAUAGAGAGCUAUGUCACAAUCAAUAAGUGAGAUGCUGUGGGCGAGGAAUCUUCUGUCACAAUAGAGGUCUUCUUUUCGAAUUUAAGUGGGACUAGCUUCUUCCUCAAUUGAUAUUACUGACAAUCUAGCAAUUCCAUCCUUUAGAAGAAGAUAAGUAAACCAUUUCUUUGAAUUGCAUGAUUGAGUGAUGGAUGCGGACAAUCACAAGCCUACUUUGUUUAUAGAAAAGAGCGUAUAACCCCCGAUCCCUACCUGUUGUAGAGAAUAUAUCAUCUAAACUCUUCUGUGCCAUUUGCCGCCUAAUACACUAUUUUAGUAUAAUGUUGUUUGCUGGUACAUAUCUCUUGAUUGACUAUUUAUUGGUUAUUAAGCAUUAGUGAGCUGACCUAUGUACAAGUUCUGAGUCAACCCCCAGACAUGUAUCUCCUUGCCUUGUAAUCUCUCAUUCAUCUAUUUAUGUGCAUGCUUUAGCGAAGUCUCCAGCCCCAUAAAUAUUAGUUAAUGCAUGACGCGUAAAUCAAUAACUAAAACUAAAGUGUCGAUCAUCCCAUGCUACCACAGGAUUUUUCAACAACAUGACAUAUUGAGAAAAAUAUAUGUUAGAGCCGCCAUUUCUUUACGGUUACAUUAGUGUGGAUUGUUCUUCUGAUUCUUAUAGGCCUGGCACCCUAGCUUCGAUAGAUUUAUUUGAUUUUGCAAGCUAUGGCACAGGAAUGUGAUAUGGGUCGUAUCCCGCACCUCCCUUGAUUCCGUGUGAAAUCCAUCCAAAAAAGCACGAGUUGGAUCGGCGUAAAGAACAAGACGAACGUGGUAUUAUCUCUAUUAGGACGGUUAUGAGGCUCUGCUCUUUUUUUUCUUUAUUCAAUAUCUAUUCUUUGUUUCUUAUAUUCCGCUAAUUGUUAUCUUGAAUGUAUCUUUAUGCUUAAUAGAUAACUGGUGAUGCUAGAGCUGUCAAGAAGGCAUUGUUUUCAGUAUCAACCAUCAUCUACAAAUGCCCAUCAAAAGAGACCAUUUCUCUUGAAACUUCUGUCCCUCCAAGCAUUGUACAUCCUUCAGAGCUUCCUGUCUAUCCUGCUAGUAACUUCUACUCAGUGUCAGAUGCAGCUAUACCUUAUGGAAUGGACAUCCAAAUCUAGGUAUCUUAGCAAAGGAAGUGGCAUUCAAAUCUACAGGUUUUUCUUCUUUAGCCUUUUCGCCCAGCGUUGUCAUUAUUGACACGUUUUUGCGAUCCCUGUUUUUGAGAUCCUCAAUGACUACCACCAGAAAGGGAAUGUGACCACCAUUCUUAUUUGAUAAAAGUGUCUCCACUAUAGCACUAACGAUCCUAGACAGCAGAGAAAGCUUGAUUGGAGCUAAGAACUAUUUCUAAAGGAUCCCUUCCACUCUUGUGUGGAAAGAUCUUUCUUCAUUCAGUCCAGUCUAAUUUAAAACGUGUUGUCUACUAUUAUAGGGGCUGUCGUUAGGGUCACUCCUUCUUAUGCCGGGAGAUGGCAGUUAUCUAUAUUUAGAAAUAAUAAAGAAUAUGGGUGUGAUUGUCAUCACAAUGGAGUGAUCGAGUAAUCAGCCCUAUAGGUUCCUCUCUAUUUAGAUAGACCCCAUCAACAUGGCCAUUCCCUACUCCUGGUAGCAAAAACCCAUUAGAGGUUUGAUUCUCAAAAGAAAACAGACCAGAAACGAGGGGCCCACGAGGGUGGAGGGCGCGCCCGGAGGGGGGGGUAGGCGCGCCCCCUGCCUCGUGGCCUCCUCGAUUGUUUCUUGACGUCCACUCCAAGUCCCCUGGAUCACGUUUGUUCCAAAAAUCAUGUUCACGAAGGUUUCAUUGCGUUUGGACUCCGUUUGAUAUUCCUUUUCUACGAAACACUAAAAUAUGCAAAAAAAAACAGCAAUUUGGGUUGGGCCUCCGGUUAAUAGGUUAGUCCCAAAAAUAAUAUAAAAGUGUAAAAUAAAUCCCAUUAACAUCCAAAACAGAUAAUAUAAUAGCAUGGAACAAUAAAAAAUUAUAGAUACGUUGGAGACGUAUCAAGCAUCGCCAAGCUUAAUUCCCGCUCGUCCUCGAGUAGGUAAAUGAUAAAAACAGAAUUUUUGAUGUGGAAUGCUUUCUAGAAUAUUCUUCAAUGUAUUUUUCUAUAUUGUGGCAUGAAUGUUCAGAUCUGAAAGAUUCAUGAUAAAAGUUUAUUGUUGACCUAAAAAUAGUAAUACUCCAAGUAUGCUAGUCAAGCAAUUAUGUCUUAUAAAAAUACCAUAGCCAGAGAAAACUUAACCCUACAAAGUCAUAUAGUUUGGCCAUGCUUCAUUUUCGUCACACAAAAUGCUCUCAUCAUGCACAACCCCGAUGACAAGCCAAGCAAUUGUUUCAUACUUAGCCUUUUUCAAACUCUUUCAACUUUUACGCAAUAUAUGAGCGUGAGCCAUGGGCAUAGCACUAUGGGUGGAAUAGAAUAUGAUGAUUGAGGUUGUGUGAGAAGACAAAAAGGGAGAAAGUCUCACAUUGACGCGGCUAAUCAAUGGGCUAUGGAGAUGCCCACCGAUUGAUGUCAAUGCAAGGAGUAGGGAUUGCCAUGCAACAGAUGCACUAGAGCUAUAAAUAUAUGAAAGCUCAUCAAAGAAACUAAGUGGGUGUGCAUCCAACUCGCUUGCUCACGAAGACCUAGGGCAUUUGAGGAAGCCCGUCAUUUGAAUAUACAAGCCAAGUUCUAUAAUGAAAAAUUCCCACUAGUAUAUGAAAGUGACAAAAUAAGAGACUCUCUAUCAUGAAGAUCAUGGUGUACUUUGAAGCACAAGUGUGGAAAAAGGAUAGUAACAUUGUCCCUUCUCUCUUUUUCUCUCAUUUUUUUUCUUUUUUUCUUUGGGCCUUUUUUUUCCUUUUUUUUCUUUUGGCCUCUUUUCUUUUCCUUUUUUCGUCCGGAGUCUCAUCCCGACUUGUGGGGGAAUCAUAGUCUCCAGCAUCCUUUCCUCACAUGGGACAAUGUUCUAAUGAUGAUCAUCACACUUUUAUUUUCUUACAACUCAAGAAUUACAACUCGAUACUUAGAACAAAAUAUGACUCUAUGUGAAUGCCUCCGGCGGUGUACCAGGAUUGCAAUGAAUCAAGAGUGACAUGUAUGAAAAAAUUAUGAACAGUGGAUUUGCCACAAAUACGAUGUCAACUACAUGAUCAUGCAAAGCAAUAUGACAAUGAUGAUACAUGUCAUAAUAAAUGGAACGGUGGAAAGUUGCAUGGCAUUAUAUCUCGGAAUGGCUAUGGAAAUGCCAUAAUAGGUAGGUAUGGUGGCUGUUUUGAGGAAGAUAUAAGGAGGCUUAUGUGUGAUAGUGAAGGAAAUAUGCCCUAGAGGCAAUAAUAAAGUUAUUAUUUACUUCCUUAUAUCAUGAUAAAUGUUUAUUAUUCAUGCUAGAAUUAUAUUAACCGGAAACAUGAUACAUGUGUGAAUGCAUAGACAAACAGAAUGUCACUAGUAUGCCUCUACUUGACUAGCUCGUUGGUCAAAGAUGGUUAUGUUUCCUGACCAUAGACAAAGAGUUGUCAUUUGAUUAACGGGGUCACAUCAUUAGGAUAAUGAUGUGAUUGACUUGGCCCAUUUCAUUAGCUUAGCACUUGAUCGUUUAGUUUGUUGCUAUUGCUUUCUUCAUGACUUAUACAUGUUCCUAUGACUAUGAGAAUAUGCAACUCUUGUUUACCGGAGGAACACUUUGUGUGCUACCAAACGUCACAACGUAACUGGGUGAUUAAAAAGGUGCUCUACAGGUGUCUCCGAAGGUACUUGUUGGGUUGGCGUAUUUCGAGAUUAGGAUUUGUCACUCUGAUUGUCGGAGAGGUAUCUCUGGGCCCACUCGGUAAUACACAUCACUUAAGCCUUGCAAGCAUUGCAACUAAUGAGUUGGUUGCGGGAUGAUGUGUUACGGAACGAGUAAAGAGACUUGCCGGUAAUGAGAUUGAACUAGGUAUUGAGAUACCGACAAUCGAAUCUCGGGCAAGUAACAUACCGAUGACAAAGGGAACAACGUAUGUUGUUAUGCGGUCCGACCGAUAAAGAUCUUCAUAGAAUAUGUAGGAGCCAAUAUGGGCAUCCAGGUUCCGCUAUUGGUUAUUAACCAAAGAGGUGUCUCGGUCAUGUCUACAUAGUUCCGCUAUUGGUUAAAAACUUUGAGAAAUCAUAGAAAAUAAAUCGUAACUCGGAUGAAAAUACUUUGUACAUGAAAGUUUCUCAAAACGAUGAGACGAAUCUGAGAUCGCAGCCUGUUCGUCCGCCACACAUCCCUAGCAUAGCAAACAUGCAACUUUCCCCCUCCGGUUCAUCUGUCCGAAAACGCGAAACAUCGGGAAUACUUUCCCGGAUGUUUUCCUCCUUCGCGGUAUCACCUAGUACUGCAUUAGGUCACCCAUAGAACCGCGUAUUGCCAUGUUAUACUUUGUGAUGCUUUGAUUGCUUUGUUAUUUAUUGUGUUUCCCCUUUGUUACUUCUUUCUGGUAGACCCCGAGACUGCCGGCGACCCCCAGCUCGACUACGGUGUUGACAACCCUUCCUUCUUGCCAAAGCAACCAGGCAAGCCCCCCCUGAUCACCAGAUAUCGCCUAUUCUUCUCUCUACUGCUUGCAUUAUAGUAGUGUAGCAUGUUACUGCUUCCCGUUAAUCCUAUUCUAAUGCAUAGCCUGUCCUUGCUACUACUAUUGUUACCUCUACCUGCAAUCCUAAAUGCUUAGUAUAGGAUGCUAGUAUUCCAUCAGUGGCCCUACAUUCUUGUCUGUCUGCCAUGCUAUACUAUCGGGUCGUGAUCACUUGGGAGGUGAUCACGGGUAUAUACUUAUAUACAUAAUAUGUGAUACAUGUGGUGACUAAAGUUGGGUCGGCUCGUAGAGUACUCGCAAGUGAUUCCGAUGUGGGGGCUGAAAGGAUAGGUGGCUCCAUCCAGGUAGUGGUGGGCCUGAGUUCCCGAUGGCCCCCUAACUUUUACUUUGUGGCGGAGCGACAGGGCAGGUUGAGACCACCUAGGAGAGAGAGGUGGGCCUGGCCCUAGUCGGCGUCCGCGGUUACAUCAAUUAACACGCUUAACGAGAUCUUGGUAUUUGAUCUGAGUCUGGCCACUAGCCUAUACGCACUAACCAACUAUGCGGGAAUAGUUAUGGGCACUCGACGUCGCGGUAUUAGCCAAAGCCUUCUUGACAUCAGCGACUGAGCGACGCGCGCCGGAUUGGACUGGAACGCUUGCUCUUGUAUUAGGGAGGCUAGGUCUGCUUCCGGCCACGUUUGCAACAUGCAGGUGUGCAACGGGCGAUGCACCCAGACCCCUGCGCCAUAUGAUUUAGACCAGCAUGCUGACCUCUUUGUUGUGCCUAGGUAGGGCUGCGACAUGUUGAUCUUCCAAGGCCGGGCAUGACCCAGGAAAGUGUGUCCGGCCAAAGGGGAUCGAGCGUGUUGGGAAAUGUGGUGCACCCCUACAGGGAAGUUUAUCUAUUCGAAUAGUCGUGUCCCUCGGUAAAAGGAUGACCCGAAGUUGUACCUUGACCUUAUGACAACUAGAACCAGAUACUUAAUAAAAUACACCCUUCCAAGUGCCAGAUACAACCCGGUGAUCGCUCUCUCCUAGGGCGACGAGGGGAGGAUCAUCGGGUAGGAUUAUGCUAUGCGAUGUUAUUUGGUUAACUUACCAUCUACUCUCUUCUACUGCUUCAAGAUGGAGGCUGCCAGAAGCGUAGUCUUUGAUAGGACUAGCUACCCCCCUCUUAUUUUGGCAUUCUGCAGUUCAGUCCACAUAUACUACCCCUUUCAUUGAUACAAAUGCAUAUGUAGUGUAGCUCCUUGCUUGCGAGUACUUGGGAUGAGUACUCACGGUUGCUUUGCUUCCCCUUUUCCCCUUUUCCCCUUUCUAUACCUGGUUGUUGCGACCAGACGUUGGAGUCCAGGAGCCAGAUGCCACUGUCGACGAUGACUCGUACUACACUGGAGGUGCCUACUACUACGUGCAGGCCACUGACGAUGACUAGGAGUAGUUUAGGAGGAUCCCAGGCAUGAGACAUGCGCCUCUUUCGAUCCGUAUCCCAGUUUGUGCUAGCCUUCUUAAGGCAAAUUUGUUUAACUUAUGUGUGUACUUAGAUAUUAUUGCUUCCGCUGACUCGUGUAUUCGAGCUUAUUUGUUUAACUUGUUUAAAUGAAUUUUGCUAAAUCUAACAUUAGGAUCGCGUGAUCACUUUCACCCGGGGAGCACCUUAUUAUCGAUGAUCGACUGCUGCACCACAAGAUUCCGAAGAUACUCUCUGAUGUUCUCUUGAGACUUUGUGCCAUCGUUUCAGCAAUUCCUUUCCAUUGCUAAACCAUUUUGGAUAACCAUGUACACUUGUCAUUCAUACAAUCAUUCCCCGUUGAUCUUGUUAUUACAAGAUACCCCGAAAUUCUCUCUAUUGCUCCAAGAAUACUUUGUGCCUACUGCCUUGCAGAUCUUUGCCGCAUGAAUACCCCUAUGAAUAAUUCCUCACAUUUACCGAGGAUUUGUUCAUCUAUUUGUUCGUGUGUUUCACAAAGUUCUUUGAGAAACUAUUUGAUCUUCUGAAAAUCCUCAGCAGCCUAUUGAUCCUGAAUUUCUUGCCUUCAUGCAUUAUGGUUAAUUCCAUAUUUCUGGUAAUCUCCGUUGACAUUCUUUGUCACUAUCAUUCUAAGUCCCUUGAUUCAAUAUGUUGCGAAUGCUCGCAAUCCUCAGACAGAUCCUAGAAUUCAUCCUCCUGACUCAGACGUCAUUUUGAACGUGAGCUGGUUCUUGACCAAUCAAAUUGUCGUCGAUUGUACCCCUAAGUCUAUCCAACUUAUCCAUCCUUAAUCAGAGUGUUACUUCUGAUCAUUUGAUUCGGAAAUCAUAAUUCCUUUGCAUUUGAGUUUCAAUUAGUCAGUUGUUUCUAUAAUCUGAUCUCCUUGCAUCCCUUCUUAUUCUGGUUGGGUACCGAUGUUCACAUCAGCUUCGUUAUGGACCGUCAGAUCCUUUGUUGAAUUUAUCAUCUGAAAUUGUCCUUCGUUUACAAAAACCUUGGAAAGUUCUUUCCCUAAUACAUAAUGCCUUUGGUAAAUUGUAUCCUCUGCUUUGUCAACCAUGCUCUACUUUCGAGCUUGUGUUAUUUACCCCUGAUGUUUGUUGCAUAUGUUUCUACGAUGCCCCGAUGGGUUGAACCUAUGCCUUCCUUAAUCUGUGUGAACCCGAAAGAUUUCACGGGUCAUACUUAUCUGGUAUUGUACCUGGUAAAACUUUCAACAACUAAUGUCAUUUUCAGAAAGAGAGAGGUGAAUGGAAGGUUAUACAUUGAAGAGGUGGGAGUCGACCUUGAACUUGUGUUCAUGCCCAUGGACAUGAUGUAGAUCCUAUCAUGGAAGCUUCUUGUAAUAAAAACUAUUUCCUUGAUAUAAUAUCAUUUGGUAUCAGCGAAUUGAUCCUUUGCAAUCGUGGUUUCUACCAUGUUCUUCUUUGAUCCCAUUUCUCGGACAAGUUAAAGCACUUGUCUUUUGCAAGUCAUUACACCAGUCCAACCUCUACUUUGAUCUACCGUCGAGUAUUACCCUCUGGUAUCUCGAGAAUAUCUAAGAACUGUGUUGCAUCUUAUGAGUCUUCAUCAGCUAUUAUUUCUCACUGAUUCCAAUUUUUCAUGGGUUCUGGGUUGUCGUCAACCGAGAACACUGAUAUGUGAACAGAUUCCGCAUUCCGGUUCGAUAACCCUAAGUAAUUUUUGUUGCCUAUGAGUUUAAUAAUCCUUCAAGUCAUUCCUAGCCCAAUCGGCUAUAUCAUUAUCGUGCUGAUUUUAACUGUGCUACCUGGUCCUUCUUCCUAUAGCACAAAUUUCAACGGUGAGCUAAUCUUACGUAGAUUUUCCUUGUCAUAUAAUUUCUCCUUGAAAAACAAACUCAAUUUCGAGUUUGUGCCGUACUCAUGGUUCCAAUAGCCAUUCGCUUCAUCAUUCCUUUGACUUGAUGCCAUCGCCGAUCGAUUACAUCUUCAUGAAAUCUCUCGACAAAUGUGUCAUGAUCAUCAUCAGCAUUCUGAGCUCUUCCAGGAUAUCAAUUGAAUUCAUGAUGAGAAAUACCAUCCUUGCCCUAAAUUAUUUGUGUUAUCAUCGACCACUUUAUUGCCUUCCGUUCAACACAAACUUGUUCAUGUUUUGUGUUAUACCUUGAGAUCCAUGCUAUCUAGCAUUUGUUCUUCUUUACCUUGGAAUAUUACCAUCUUUUAUGUCAAGAAUGUCCUGAGAAUUUCACCACCUCUUAAAAAUUCUUGAUACAAGUGAUACUUCUUGCCAUCUCCCUUCAUUCCUUAGUCCCAGCAUUAUUUCUAACCAGAAUACUGACAAAUGGACUGUGAUGUGAAAUUUUCAAAACUUCUAGCAACCCUGUUGCUUGUAAGUUAAUGAAUGAUAGUUUCAUUCUUUGUGUAUUGGUUAUCAAAUCACCAUACUAACAUUGAUCAUGCUACCUAAGCCCAUAUUUCGGGUGCACCUUUCAACCAAUGUUUGCUCUUGGAUGUUCUCCUCGAGCAUACAUCAUUAUAUCAUUUGAUCUGACAAAUGUUAUCUCCUUGUUCACAUAAUCGUGGAAAUCCAUAUUUUUGGAAAUCUCAAUGAAUUGUUGCUGAGUCCAUCAGCCAUCUCAUCCUCUCCUUGGUUUAAUGAUGAACUCAUGAUUAAGAACUUGCUUCCAUAGUUCAUUUCCCGAGAAUCUCGCAACGCCAUCUCGUCAAACUGUGUUGCACCCAUUCCUUCUGAGGCAUCAUGAGUCUGAGGUAUCCUAACACCAAUCAGAUUUGAAUCUUGGUCAGAUAUGAUGGUUGGAACAUAUUUCCAAGAGUUAUAAUAAUUGGUCUUUAUAUGAACCAGUAAGGUGAGGUCAUGCCUAACACACCUGGCCGAAGGACCUAUUGUUAUAGUUUCCUUUUUAGCAAGGUUAUCCAUUAUUCCCCGAGGAAAUUGUAACGCUUAUUCUAUACGUUGUUCCUGAUGGAUCCUUUGUGUUUCCAAAGUCUGAUCUUCACCUAAUGACCAUGUUAAUGCUAUCUCGAAGCAUGUCUGUGGUACUAUGAUUUUCAAUAAGAACAUUUGAAGCACAAUGCUAAAAUUUCUUUAUCAAUUAUCCAAAAUUAUCCAAACACCGUUGUAUGGGGGCUACCUCUUGAGCACUGCGUUGGUUUUCCCUUGAAGAGGAAAGGGUGAUGCAGCAAAGUAGCGUAAGUAUUUCCCUUAGUUUUUGAGAACCAAGGUAUCAAUCCAGUAGGGGACUACACGCAAGUCCCUCGUACCUACACAAACAAAUGAGAACCUCGCAACCAACACGAUAAAGGGGUUGUCAAUCCCUUCAUGGUCACUUACGAGAGUGAGAUCUGAUAGAGAUAAUAAGAUAAAUAUUUUUGGUAUUUUUAUGAUAUAGAUUUAAAGUAAAGAUUGCAAAGUAAAUUGGAAACUUAUAUGAUAAAAGAUAGACCCGGGGGCCAUAGGUUUCACUAGUGGCUUCUCUCAAGAUAGCAUAAGUAUUACGGUGGGUGAACAAAUUACUGUCGAGCAAUUGAUAGAAAAGUGCAUAAUUAUGAGAAUAUAUAGGCAUGAUCAUGUAUAUAGUCAUCACGUUCGUGACAAGUAGACCGAAACGAUUCUGCAUCUACUACUAUUACUCCACACAGGGACUGCUAUCCAGCAUGCAUCUAGAGUAUUAAGUUCAUAAGAACAGAGUAACGCAUUAGGCAAGAUGACAUGAUGAAGAGGGAUAAACUCAAGCAAUAUGAUAUAAACCCCAUCUUUUUAUCCUCGAUGGCAACAAUACAAUACGUGCCUUGCUGCCCCUGCUGUCACUGGGAAAGGACACCGCAAGAUUGAACCAAAAGCUAAGCACUUCUCCCAUUGCAAGAAAGAUCAAUCUAGUAGACCAAACCAAACUGAUAAUUCGAAGAGACUUGCGAAGAUAACCAAUCAUACAUAAAAGAUUUUAGAGAAGAAUCAAAUAUUCUUCAUAGAUAAACUUGAUCAUAAACCCACAAUUCAUCGGAUCUCGACAAACACACCGCAAGAGUUAGAUCAAACAGAUCUCCAAGAAGAUCGAAGAGAACUUUGUAUUGAGAUCCAAAGAGAGAGAAGAAGCCAUCUAGCAAAUAACUAUGGACCCAAAGGUCUGUGGUAAACUACUCACCCAUCAUCGGAGAGGCUAUGGUGUUGACGUAGAAGCCCUCCGUGAUCGAUUCCCCCUCCGUCGGAGCUCCGAAAAAGGCCCCAAGAUGGGAUCUCUUGGGUACAGAAGGUUGCGGCGGUGGAAAUAGGGUUUCAUGGUGCUCCUGGAUGUUUUCGGGGUAUAUGGAUAUAUAUAGGAGGAAGAAGUAGGUCGGUGGAGCUGCGAGGGGCCCAUGAGGGUGGGGGCGCGCCCAGGGGGGCAAGCGUGCCUCCUUGCCUCGUGGCCACCUUGCUUCUUUCUUGACGUCUACUCCAAGUCUCCUGGAUCACGUUUGUUCCAAAAAUAACUCUCCCGAAGGUUUCAUUCCGUUUGGCUUCUGUUUGAUAUUCCUUUUCUGCGAAACACUGAAAUAGGCAAAAAACAGCAAUUUGCACUGGGCCUUGGGUUAGUAGGUUAGUCCCAAAAAUAAUAUAAAAGUGUAUAAUAAAGCCCAUUAAACAUCCAAAACAGAUAAUAUAAUAGCAUGGAACAAUAAAAAAUUAUAGAUACGUUGGAGACGUAUCAAUGGGUAAUGUCAUGAAAUUCCUCUCCCCUUUCCUAAAGGGUUUUCUACGUUAUAUCCUGUCAUGGAUACCAUUCUUUGCUUGUCCUUGUGAAGGAUAUACCCCUGAAAAAUGUGUUUAAACACAUUUUCCUUUCCAUUGUUUUGUUUAAUCUGAUGGUCACCUUUUCCUUUUCAUUGAUUUGUUUAACCUUUCUGGUGAUCUAUAUGAUCUAAGCAGUAAUAUUCUCCUGCUUAUGUAAACACCUUGGUGUACAACUCUGUCAGUAAGGACCUGUUACUAUUGUUGAUGACAUUCCGGUAACCACCGACGGAUGAGAACUUUGCCUAUUGGUCUGCCUCGUUCAACGAGUAGGAAAAUGGUUCUCUUCGUCCCUCGCCCUUGGUACCAACGAUGUUGCCAACAUAACUGACCGGAUAUUCUCUGACAUGCCUUGCUAUCAUGGUCAUGCAAGCUGUUGCUACCUCUUGAGCACUGCGUUGGAUUUCCCCGAAGAGGAGAGGAUGAUGCAGUAAAGUAGCGUAAGUAUUACCCUCAAUUUUUGAGAACCAAGGUAUCAAUCCAGUAGGAGGCUACGCGUGAGUUCCUCGUACCUACACAAAAACAAUAGCUCAACGCAACCAACGUGCUUAGGGGUUGUCAAUCCCUUCACGGUCACUUACGAAAGUGAGAUCUGAUAGAGAUGAUAAAUAAUAUUUUUGGUAUUUUUGGUAUAGAGACGCAAAGUGAAAAGUAAAAAGCAAAGCAAUAAUAAAGUGAUGGAGAUUGAUAUGAUGAGAAAGAGACCCGGGGGCCAUGGGUUUCACUAGUGGCUUCUCUCAAGAGCAUAAGUAUUCUACUGUGGGUGAACAAAUUACUGUUGAGCAAUUGACAAAAUUGAGCAUAGUUAUGAGAAUAUCUAGGUAUGAUCAUGUAUAUAGGCAUCACGUCCGACACAAGUAGACCGACUCCUGCCUGCGUCUACUACUAUUACUCCACUCAUCGACCGCUAUCCAGCAUGCAUCUAGAGUAUUAAGUUAAAAACAGAGUAACGCCUUAAGCAAGAUGACAUGAUGUAGAGGGAUAGUUUCAUGCAAUAUGAUAAAAAAACCAUCUUGUUAUCCUCGAUGGCAACAAUACAAUACGUGCCUUGCUGCCCCUUCUGUCACUAGGAAAGGACACCGCAAGAUCGAACCCAAAGCUAAGCACUUCUCCCAUGGUAAGAAAAACCAAUCUAGUAGGCCAAACCAAACUGAUAAUUUGAAGAGACUUACAAAGAUAACAAAUGAUACAUAAAAGAAUUCAGAGAAGAUUCAAAUAUUAUUCAUAGAUAGACUGGAUCAUAAACCCACAAUUCAUCGGUCUCAACAAACACACCGCAAAAAGAAGAUUACAUCGAAUAGAUCUCCACGAGAGAGGGGGAGAACAUUGUAUUGAGAUCCAAAAAGAGAGAAGAAGCCAUCUAGCUACUAACUAUGGACCCGUAGGUCUGAAGUAAACUACUCACACUUCAUCGGAGGGGCUUGGAUGAUGAUGUAGAAGCCCUCCGUGAUCGAUGCCCCCUCCCCCGGAGCUCCGGAACAGGCCCCAAGAUGGGAUCUCGUGGAUACAGAAAGUUGCGGUGGUGGAAUUAGGUUUUUGGCUCCAUAUCUGAUCGUUUGGGGGUACGUAGGUAUAUAUAGGAGGAAGGAAUACGUCGGUGGAGCUUCGAGGGGCCCACGAGGCAGGGGGCGCGCCCUAGGGGGCGCCCUCCACCCUCGUGACUGCCUCGUGACUUUCUUGACGGAGGGUCCAAGUCUCCUAGGUCUUAUCUGAUGAGAAAAUCGCGCUCCCAAAGGUUUCGUUCCGUUUGGACCCCGUUUGAUAUUAUGUUUCUCCGAAACACUGAAAUAGGCAAAAAACAGCAAUUCUGGGCUGGGCCUCCUAUUAAUAGGUUAGUCCCAAAAAUAAUAUAAAAGUGGAAAAUAAAGCCCAAUAUAGUCCAAAACAGUAGGUAAUAUAGCAUGAAGCAAACAAAAAUUAUAGAUACGUUGGAGGCGUAUCAGCUGUUAACGCCCUUCCUUGUUUUAACCCACAUGGUGGGCCCAUAACCCAUAAGUUCCACAUGAUCGAAACCUGACUCUUUGUUGGGAAACGUAGUAAUUUCAAAAAAAAUCCUACGCACACGCAAGAUCAUGGUGAUGCAUAGCAAUGAGAGGGGAGAGUAUGAUCUACGUACCCUUGUAGAUCGACAAUGGAAGCGUUUGGUUGAUGUAGUCGUACGUCUCCACGGCCCAACCGAUCAAGCACCGAAACUAUGGCACCUCCGAGUUCUAGCACACGUUCAGCUCGAUGACGAUCCCCGGACUCCGAUCUAGCAAAGUGUCGGGGAAGAGUUCCGUCAGCACGACGGCGUGGUGACGAUCUUGAUGUACUACCGUCACAGGGCUUCGCCUAAGCACCGCUACAAUAUUAUCGAGGACUAUGGUGGAAGGGGGCACCGCACAUGGCUAAGAAUAUGAUCACGUGGAUCAACUUGUGUCUCUAGGGGGUGCCCCUGCCUCCAUAUAUAAAGGUUCAAGGGAGGGGGGCCUGCCGGCCAGGAGAGGCGCGCCUUUCCUAGUUGGAAUAGGAUUCGUGGAGGGGGGAAAGAGGAGAGAGAGGAGGAAGGGGGGCCGGCCCCCUCUCCUUGUCCAAUUUGGACCAAGGGGGGGAGGGGCGCGCGUCCCAUCUCUGGCCACCUCUCCUCUCUCCCACUAAGGCCCAUAUACCUCCCGGGGGGUUCCGGUAACCUCCCGGUACUCCGGUAAAAUCCCGAUUUCACCUGGAACACUUCCGAUAUCCAAACAUAGGCUUCCAAUAUAUCAAUCUUUAUGUCUCGACCAUUUCGAGACUCCUCGUCAUGUCCAUGAUCACAUCCGAGACUCCGAACAACCUUCGGUACAUCAAAAUGCAUAAACUCAUAAUAUAACUGUCAUCGUAACCUUAAGCAUGCGGACCCUACGGGUUCGAGAACAAUGUAGACAUGACCGAGACACGUCUCCGGUCAAUAACCAAUAGCGGAACCUGGAUUCUCAUAUUGGCUCCUACAUAUUCUACGAAGAUCUUUUAUCGGUCAGACCGCAUAACAACAUACGUUGUUCCCUUUGUCAUCGGUAUGUUACUUGCCCGAGAUUCGAUCGUCGGUAUCCCAUACCUAGUUCAAUCUUGUUACCGACAAGUCUCUUUACUCGUUCUGUAAUACAUCAUCCCGCAACUAACUCAUUAGUUGCAAUGCUUGCAAGGCUUAAGUGAUGUGCAUUACCGAGAGGGCCCAGAGAUACCUCUCCGACAAUCAGAGUGACAAAUCCUAAUCUCGAAAUACGCCAACCCAACAUGUUCCUUUGGAGACACCUGUAGAGCACCUUUAUAAUCACCCAGUUACGUUGUGACGUUUGGUUGCACACAAAGUGUUCCUCUGGUAAACGGGAGUUGCAUAAUCUCAUAGUCAUAGGAACAUGUAUAAGUUAUGAAGAAAGCAAUAGCAACAUACUAAACGAUCGGGUGCUAAGCUAAUGGAAUGGGUCAUGUCAAUCAGAUCAUUCACCUAAUGAUGUGAUCCCGUUAAUCAAAUAACAACUCUUUGUCCAUGGUUAGGAAACAUAACCAUCUUUGAUUAACGAGCUAGUCUAGUAGAGGCAUACUAGUGACACUCUGUUUGUCUAUGUAUUCACACAUGUAUUAUGUUUCCAGUUAAUACAAUUCUAGCAUGAAUAAUAAACAUUUAUCAUGAUAUAAGGAAAUAAAUAAUAACUUUAUUAUUGCCUCUAGGGCAUAUUUCCUUCAGUCUCCCACUUGCACUAGAGUCAAUAAUCUAGAUUACACAGUAAUGAUUCUAACACCCAUGGAGCCUUGGUGUUGAUCAUGUUUUGCUCGUGGAAGAGGCUUAGUCAACGGGUCUGCUACAUUCAGAUCCGUAUGUAUCUUGCAAAUCUCUAUAACUCCCACCUGGACUAUAUCCCGGAUGGAAUUGAAGCGUCUCUUGAUGUGCUUGGUUCUCUUGUGAAAUCUGGAUUCCUUUGCCAAGGCAAUUGCACCAGUAUUGUCACAAAAGAUUUUCAUUGGACCCGAUGCACUAGGUAUGACACCUAGAUCGGAUAUGAACUCCUUCAUCUAGACUCCUUCAUUCGCUGCUUCCGAAGCAGCUAUGUAUUCCGCUUCACACGUAGAUCCCGCCAAGACGCUCUGUUUAGAACUGCACCAACUGACAGCUCCACCGUUUAAUGUAAACACGUAUCCGGUUUGUGAUUUAGAAUCAUACGGAUCAGUGUCAAAGCUUGCAUCAACGUAACCGUUUACGAUGAGCUCUUUGUCACCUCCAUAUACGAGAAACAUAUCCUUAGUCCUUUUUAGGUACUUCAGGAUGUUCUUGACCGCUGUCCAGUGAUCCACUCUUGGAUUACUUUGGUACCUCCCUGCUAGACUUAUAGCAAGGCACACAUCAGGUCUGGUACAUAGCAUUGCAUACAUGAUAGAGCCUAUGGCUGACGCAUAGGGAACAUCUUUCAUUUUCUCUCUAUCUUCUGCAGUGCUCGGGCAUUGACUCUGACUCAACUUCACACCUUGUAACACAGGCAAGAACCCUUUCUUUGCUUGAUCCAUUUUGAACUUCUUCAAAAUCUUGUCAAGGUAUGUGCUUUGUGAAAGUCCAAUUAAGCGUCUCGAUCUAUCUCUAUAGAUCUUUAUGCCUAAUAUGUAAGCAGCUUCACCGAGGUCUUUCAUUGAAAAACUCUUAUUCAAAUAUCCCUUUAUGCUAUCUAGAAAUUCUAUAUCAUUUCCAAUCAGUAAUAUGUCAUCCACAUAUAAUAUCAGAAAUGCUACAGAGCUCCCACUCACUUUCUUGUAAAUACAGGCUUCUCCAAAAUUCUGUAUAAAACCAAAUGCUUUGAUCACACUAUCAAAGCAUUUAUUCCAACUCCAAGAGGCUUGCACCAGUCCAUAAAUGGAUCGCUGGAGCUUGCACACUUUGUUAGCUCCCUUUGGAUCGACAAAACCUUCCGGUUGCAUCAUAUACAACUCUUCUUCCAGAAAUCCAUUCAGGAAUGCAGUUUUGACAUCCAUCUGCCAAAUUUCAUAAUCAUAAAAUGCGGCAAUUGCUAACAUGAUUCGGACAGACUUAAGCAUCGCUACGGGUGAGAAGGUCUCAUCGUAGUCAACCCCUUGAACUUGUCGAAAACCUUUUGCGACAAGUCGAGCUUUGUAGACAGUAAUAUUACCGUCAGCGUCAGUCUUCUUCUUGAAGAUCCAUUUAUUCUCAAUUGCUUGCCGAUCAUCGGGCAAGUCAACCAAAGUCCAUACUUUGUUCUCAUACAUGGAUCCCAUCUCAGAUUUCAUGGCUUCAAGCCAUUUUACGGAAUCUGGGCUCACCAUCGCUUCUUCAUAGUUCGUAGGUUCAUCAUGAUCUAGUAGCAUGAUUUCCAAAACAGGAUUACCGUACCACUCUGGUGCGGAUCUCACUCUGGUUGAUCUACGAGGUUCAGUAGUAUCUUGUUCUGAAGUUUCAUGAUCAUUAUCAUUAGCUUCCUCACUAAUUGGUGUAGGUGUCACAAAAACAGUUUUCUGUGAUGCACCACUUUCCAAUAAGGGAGCAGGUACGGUUACCUCGUCAAGUUCUACUUUCCUCCCACUCACUUCUUUCGAGAGAAACUCCUUCUCUAGAAAGGAUCCAUUCUUAGCAACGAAUGUCUUGCCUUCGGAUCCGUGAUAGAAGGUGUACCCAACAGUCUCCUUUGGGUAUCCUAUGAAGACACAUUUCUCCAAUUUGGGUUCGAGCUUAUCAGGUUGAAGCUUUUUCACAUAAGCAUCGCAGCCCCAAACUUUAAGAAACGACAACUUUGGUUUCUUGCCAAACCACAGUUCAUAAGGUGUCGUCUCAACGGAUUUUGAUGGUGCCCUAUUUAACGUGAACGCGGCCGUCUCUAAAGCAUAACCCCAAAAUGAUAGCGGUAAAUUUGUAAGAGACAUCAUAGAUCGCACCAUAUCAAGUAAAGUACGAUUACGACGUUCGGACACACCAUUACGCUGAGGUGUUCCGGGUGGCGUGAGUUGUGAAACUAUUCCGCAUUGUUUCAGAUGUAGACCAAACUCGUAACUCAAAUAUUCUCCUCCAUGAUCAGAUCGCAGAAACUUUAUUUUCUUGUUACGAUGAUUUUCAACUUCACUCUGAAAUUCUUUGAACUUUUCAAAUGUUUCAGACUUAUGCUUCAUUAAGUAGAUAUACCCAUAUCUGCUUAAAUCAUCUAUGAAGGUGAGAAAAUAACGAUAUCCGCCACGAGCCUCAACAUUCAUCGGACCACAUACAUCUGUAUGUAUGAUUUCUAACAAAUCUGUUGCUCUCUCCAUUGUACCGGAGAACGGUGUUUUAGUCACCUUGCCCAUAAGGCAUGGUUCGCAAGUACCAAGUGAUUCAUAAUCAAGAGGUUCCAAAAUUCCAUCGGUAUGGAGUUUCUUCAUGCGCUUUACACCGAAAUGACCUAAACGGCAGUGCCACAAAUAAGUUGCACUAUCAUUAUCAACUCUACAUCUUUUGGCUUCAACAUUAUGAAUAUGUGUGUUACUAAUAUCGAGAUUCAUCAAAAAUAGACCACUCUUCAAAGGUGCAUGACCAUAAAAGAUAUUACUCAUAUAAACAGAACAACCAUUAUUCUCUGAUUUAAAUGAAUAACCGUCUCGCAUUAAACAAGAACCAGAUAGAAUGUUCAUGCUCAACGCAGGCACCAAAUAACAAUUAUUUAGGUCUAAUAUUAAUCCCGAAGGUAGAUGUAGAGGUAGCGUGCCGACCGCGAUCACAUCGACUUUAGAACCAUUUCCCACGCGCAUCAUCACCUCGUCCUUUGCCAGUGUUCGCUUAAUCCGUAGUCCCUGUUUCGAGUUGCAAAUAUUAGCAACAGAACCAGUAUCAAAUACCCAGGUGCUACUGCGAGCUCUAGUAAGGUGCACAUCAAUAACAUGUAUAUCACAUAUACCUUUGUUCACCUUGCCAUCCUUCUUAUCCGCCAAAUACUUGGGGCAGUUCCGCUUCCAGUGACCAGUCUGCUUGCAGUAGAAGCACUCAGUUUCAGGCUUAGGUCCAGAUUUGGGUUUCUUCUCCUGAUCAGCAACUUGCUUGCUUUUCUUCUUGAAGUUCCCCUUCUUCUUCCCUUUGCCCUUUUUCUUGAAACUAGUGGUCUUGUUGACCAUCAACACUUGAUGCUCCUUCUUGAUUUCUACCUCUGCAGCUUUCAGCAUUGCGAAGAGUUCGGGAAUAGUCUUGUUCAUCCCUUGCAUAUUAUAGUUCAUCACAAAGCUCUUGUAGCUUGGUGGCAGUGAUUGGAGAAUUCUGUCAAUGACGCAAUCAUCUGGAAGAUUAACUCCCAUCUGAAUCAAGUGAAUAUUAUACCCAGACAUUUUGAGUAUAUGCUCACUGACAGAACUGUUCUCCUCCAUCUUGCAGCUAUAGAAUUUAUUGGAGACUUCAUAUCUCUCAAUCCGGGCAUUUGCUUGAAAUAUUAACUUCAACUCUUGGAACAUCUCAUAUGCUCCAUGACGUUCAAAACGUCGUUGAAGUCCCGAUUCUAAGCCGUAAAGCAUGGCACACUGAACUAUCGAGUAGUCAUCAGCUUUGCUCUGCCAAAUGUUCACAACAUCUGGUGUUGCUCCAGCAGCAGGCCUGGCACCUAGCCGUGCUUCCAGGACGUAAUUCUUCUGUGCAGCAAUGACGAUAAUCCUCAAGUUACGGACCCAGUCCGUGUAAUUGCUACCAUCAUCUUUCAACUUUGCUUUCUCAAGGAACGCAUUAAAAUUCAACGGAACAACAGCACGGGCCAUUUAUCUACAAUCAUACAUAAACAAGCAAGAUACUAUCAGGUACUAAGUUCAUGAUAAAUUUAGGUUCAAUUAAUCAUAUUACUUAAACUCCCACUUAAAUAGACAUCCCUCUAAUCAUCUAAGUGAUCACGUGAUCCAAAUCAACUAAACCAUAACCAAUCAUCACGUGAAAUGGAGUAGUUUUCAAUGGUGAACAUCGCUAUGUUGAUCAUAUCUACUAUAUGAUUCACGCUCGAUCUUUCGAUCUCAGUGUUCCGAGGCCAUAUCUGCAUAUGCUAGGCUCAUCAAGUUUAACCUGAGUAUUCUGUGUGUGCAAAACUGGCUUGCACCCGUUGUAGAUGGACGUAGAGCUUAUCACACCGGAUCAUCACGCGGUGUCUGGGCACGACGAACUUUGGCAAUGGUGCAUACUCAGGGAGAACACUUUUAUCUUGAAAUUUAGUGAGAGAUCAUCUUAUAAUGCUACCGUCAAUCAAAGCAAGAUAAGAUGCAUAAAAGAUAAACAUCACAUGCAAUCAAUAUAAGUGAUAUGAUAUGGCCAUCAUCAUCUUGUGCUUGUGAUCUCCAUCUCCGAAGCACCGUCGUGAUCACCAUCGUCACCGGAGCGACACCUUGACCUCCAUCGUAGUAUCGUUGUCGUCUCGCCAAUCUUAUGCUUCCACGACUAUCGCUACCGCUUAGUGAUAAAGUAAAGCAUUACAGCGCGAUUGCAUUGCAUACAAUAAAGCGACAACCAUAUGGCUCCUGCCAGUUGCCGAUAACUCAGUUACAAAACAUGAUCAUCUCAUACAAUAAAAUUUAGCAUCAUGUCUUGACCAUAUCACAUCACAACAUGCCCUGCAAAAACAAGUUAGACGUCCUCUACUUUGUUGUUGCAUGUUUUACGUGGCUGCUACGGGCUUUAAGCAAGAACCAAUCUUACCUACGCAUCAAAACCACAAUGAAAGUUUGUCAAGUUGGUGUUGUUUUAAACUUCGCAAGGACCGGGCAUAGCCACACUCGGUUCAACUAAAGUUGGAGAAACUGUCACCCGCAAGCCACCUAUGUGCAAAGCACAUCGGGAGAACCGGUCUCGCGUAAGCAUACGCGUAAUGUCGGUCCGGGCCGCUUAGUCCAACAAUACCACCGAACCAAAGUAUGACAUGUUGGUAAGCAGUAUGACUUAUAUCGCCCACAACUCACUUGUGUUCUACUCGUGCAUAUAACAUCAACAUAUAAAACCUAGGCUCGGAUGCUACUGUUGGGAAACGUCUUAAUUUCAAAAAAAUUCCUAUGCACACGCAAGAUCAUGGUGAUGCAUAGCAACGAGAGGGGAGAGUAUGAUCUACGUACCCUUGUAGAUCGACAAUGGAAGCGUUUGGUUGAUGUAGUCGUACGUCUCCAUGGCCCGACCGAUCAAGCACCGAAACUUCGGCACCUCCGAGUUCUAGCACACGUUCAGCUCGAUGACGAUCCCCGGACUCCGAUCCAGCAAAGUGUCGGGGAAGAGUUCUGUCAGCACGACGGCGUGGUGACGAUCUUGAUGUACUACCGUCACAGGGCUUCGCCUAAGCACCGCUACAAUAUUAUCGAGCACUAUGGUGGAAAGGGGUCACUGCACACGGCUAAGAAUAUGAUCACGUGGAUCAACUUGUGUCUCUAGGGGGUGCCCAUGCCUCCGUAUAUAAAGGUUCAAGGGAGGGGGGCCGGCCGGCCAGGAGAGGUGCGCCAGGAGGAGUCCUACUCCCUCUGGGAGUAGGACUCCCCCCUUUCCUAGUUGGAACAGGAUUCGUGGAGGGGGGAAGAGGAGAGAGAGGAGGAAGGGGGCCCGGCCCCCUCUCCUUGUCCAAUUCGGACCAAGGGGGGGAGGGGCGCGCGUCCCAUCUCUGGCCACCUCUCCUCUCUUCCACUAAGGCCCACUAAGGCCCAUAUACCUCCUGGGGGGUUCCGGUAACCUCCCGGUACUCCGGUAAAAUCCCGAUUUCACCCGGAACACUUCCGAUAUCCAAACAUAGGCUUCCAAUAUAUCAAUCUUUAUUUCUCGACCAUUUCGAGACUCCUCGUCAUGUCCGUGAUCACAUCCGGGACUCCGAACAACCUUCGGUACAUCAAAAUGCAUAAACUCAUAAUAUAACUGUCAUCGUAACCUUAAGCGUGCGGACCCUACGGGUUCGAGAACAAUGUAGACAUGAUCGAGACACGUCUCUGGUCAAUAACCAAUAGCGGAACCUGGAUUCUCAUAUUGGCUCCUACAUAUUCUACGAAGAUCUUUUAUUGGUCAGACCGCAUAACAACAUACGUUGUUCCCUUUGUCAUCGGUAUGUUACUUGCCCGAGAUUCGAUCGUCGGUAUCCCAUACCUAGUUCAAUCUUGUUACCGACAAGUCUCUUUACUCGUUCUGUAGUACAUCAUCCCGCAACUAACUCAUUAGUUGCAAUGCUUGCAAGGCUUAAGUUAUGUGCAUUACCGAGAGGGCCCAGAGAUACCUCUCCGACAAUCGGAGUGACAAAUCCUAAUCUCGAAAUACGCCAACCCAACAUGUUCCUUUGGAGACACCCGUAGAGCACCUUUAUAAUCACCCAGUUACGUUGUGACGUUUGGUUGCACACAAAGUGUUCCUCCGGUAAACGGGAGUUGCAUAAUCUCAUAGUCAUAGGAACAUGUAUAAGUUAUGAAGAAAGCAAUAGCAACAUACUAAACGAUCAAGUGCUAAGCUAAUGGAAUGGGUCGUGUCAAUCAGAUCAUUCACCUAAUGAUGUGAUCCCGUUAAUCAAAUAACAACUCUUUGUCCAUGGUUAGGAAACAUAACCAUCUUUGAUUAACGAGCUAGUCUAGUAGAGGCAUACUAGUGACACUCUGUUUGUCUAUGUAUUCACACAUGUAUUAUGUUUCCGGUUAAUACAAUUCUAGCAUGAAUAAUAAACAUUUAUCAUGAUAUAAGGAAAUAAAUAAUAACUUUAUUAUUGCCUCUAGGGCAUAUUUCCUUCACUCUCAUGUACCCCCUAUUUCCAUAGUUAUUCCUCGCGUGUGGUCUCAUAUGUAAUUCAUGAGCCACCUUCCGAGAGAUCAUCAAUUCUGCUAUCAGACACAAUACUUAUUCCCGUUGCUUUGGGUCCCUUUCGCGCCCUGUUUCAGGCAUCGAGCGCUUGCCUGCCCGCUCGAAACUUCCCAUGAUAACUCCUUACUUUGCUCUCGAUAUUUUCAUAAGUUUCAAUUCGAGAGUUACUCUCCGCCACCUUCCUCGAUGUUCUCGACCAGAUAGUCAACCUUGCCGAGGUCUGUUCUCCCGGAAAGCUCCUCCUUUAGUCUUUUGUAAGUACAGUGAAGAUCCUUAAGGAAGGACGACAACUUCAUCAUGAUGACUUGAAGCAGAGAAAUGAAGACAUGAAUGUAAUGGAUCGACCUCUUCGAGAAGAGAAACUAAGACCGAGAAGAAUCGUUAGAAUUUAGUAACCACAUCUUUCCCCUUACUCAGCCUCUUAAAAUCUCGGGACGAGAUUUCUUGUAAUGGAGGAGAAUUGUGACGCCCGGAUAAUUAAGCUACAGUGAACCUUUGCUAAUGAUGCCACGUCACUGCGAUUACUGUUAUUAAUCUCGCGAUGGUUCAAAAAACGAUUCAAAUUCAAAUUUAAAAUAUAGGCAAGCAACAAAUGUUUUCAAAAAUUAAAACUAAAAUGUUCGAGAGAUGACAUAUAAUGCAUAUGUAAUUAUGCUGAUGAAACCACAUUUUGAUAAAAUGUUUAGAUGUAAGAAAUUAAUUGAAAUAGGGGCUAAACAAUUACUUAAAUUCUUUUAAAAAGAAUAAACUAUUACAAACCAUUUUAUUUUGGAGAGCUAAAUUAAUAGUUGCAAAGCCACAAUUUUUAACACUAAAUUAGGUGUCACUUUUGUAUUUUAUUAAAACUAAAAUAAAUAGAAACUAAAAUAAAUAAAUAAAGGAUAAAUAAAAAGAAAACAAAAAGAAGUAAAAUAAAAAGGAAAAGUGCCCCUGGUCCAACUAGGCCACAGCCCAGCUGGUCGCACACCCAGUUGGCCCACCACUGCCCCAAUAACCCCCUGCAACUGAACCCUAGACCCUCACACCUCUCGCCCCCACUCCCUAUCUGCAUGAUCCUCUCAACCCCCACCCGCCUCGCGCCGCCACGGACGAGCGAGAGCGCUCUCGCUCGACCCCGCAGAUCCUCCCGCCGGCCACGCCCUGCGCCUCCCCCGAACUCGCCUCAUCCUCCCCUGCACCCACCUCCGCCACCACUCUCGCGCCAGAGUCGUCCCCCGCCGUCGCCUCGUCGUACACGGCUGCCCGACCGCGCCCCCACCCGAGGAACCGUCGCCGACGCCGCCCGGAGCCACUCCGCCGACGCUCGUCGCCGACCACCGCCCCGUCGCCGGAUCUUGCAUCCCCGUCCUCCUCCCCAAAGGACACCUCGAGCCUCGCGGCCCCCUGGUCUCUACAUCGCCGGUGAGGGCCUCGCCCUUUCCCCAUCUCUUCCUCUGUCCCGUGUCUGCCGCGGCCCCCUCCACCACCUUCACUGCUGCUCGCCGGCCACUGCGCCCACCUCGCCUUGUAGCCGUCGUUGGCCGCGCCAUGGCCCUGCCCGCUGCGCUCAGCGCACCAUCACGCGCGCAUGCGCUCGCGUCCUCGCGCCCGGAUGACGUACCCCGCCCCGCUCCCCCUCUGCUUGACCUCGUCUGCCGGCAGCCGCUCACGCGCCCACGGCCUCAACUGCUGCGCCGCUUCUGCUGCUACUGUGUGCCACCGUGCCGACCCGCCUUCCCCGUUGACGGCCGCCGUGCCCGCACCUUGCCGAAACCGCGCGUGCACGCCCUGCCACUGCUCCACGCCGGCGUGCUGUCCUGGCCCUGCUGCUCUCUGCGNNNNNNNNNNNNNNNNNNNNNNNNNNNNNNNNNNNNNNNNNNNNNNNNNNNNNNNNNNNNNNNNNNNNNNNNNNNNNNNNNNNNNNNNNNNNNNNNNNNNNNNNNNNNNNNNNNNNNNNNNNNNNNNNNNNNNNNNNNNNNNNNNNNNNNNNNNNNNNNNNNNNNNNNNNNNNNNNNNNNNNNNNNNNNNNNNNNNNNNNNNNNNNNNNNNNNNNNNNNNNNNNNNNNNNNNNNNNNNNNNNNNNNNNNNNNNNNNNNNNNNNNNNNNNNNNNNNNNNNNNNNNNNNNNNNNNNNNNNNNNNNNNNNNNNNNNNNNNNNNNNNNNNNNNNNNNNNNNNNNNNNNNNNNNNNNNNNNNNNNNNNNNNNNNNNNNNNNNNNNNNNNNNNNNNNNNNNNNNNNNNNNNNNNNNNNNNNNNNNNNNNNNNNNNNNNNNNNNNNNNNNNNNNNNNNNNNNNNNNNNNNNNNNNNNNNNNNNNNNNNNGGAUGCCCGGUCGGGGCCAGCGCCCGAGACCCGCGCCCGCAGCGCCCGCCCCAUUAAGGCCUCUAGGGCCUAUGACAAAGGGGGCCCACCCAGAACGAUUAGAAAAAAGAAUUAAGAAUAAUAAUAAAUAAAUACAAAUAUUAAUUAAUUAAUUAACUAAAUUAAUUAACUAAAUUAAUUAAUUAAAUUAAUUAUGUUUGAUUAACCUGAUCAAUUAGCUAAACUAACUAAACAUGUUUAGUUAGCCUUAGUCUAUGACAGGUGGGUCCCACUAGACCCACAGGCCAGGUUUGACUCUCGUCAGCUGGGUUUGACCUGCUGAUGUCAUGGUGAUGUCAUGCUGACAUCACCUUUCACUGUUCUGGAUAAUGUUUGAUUUAAAUAAUUAAAUAAACUUAAAAAAAUGCCUAAAACUUUGAUAAACAAUAGAAAAUAAACCGUAACUCGGAUGAAAAUACUUUGUACAUGAAAGUUGCUCAGAACGACGAGACGAAUCCGAAUACGCAGCCUGUUCUUCCGCCACACAUCCCUAGCAUAGCAAACACACAACUUUCCCCCUCCGGUUCAUCUGUUCGAAAACGCGAAACACCGGGAAUACUUCCCGGAUGUUUUCCUCCUUCACCGGUAUCACCUAGUACUACGUUAGGUCAAACCUAGCACCGCGUAUUGCCAUGUUAUACUUUGUGAUGCUUUGAUUGCUUUGUUAUUUAUUGUGUUUCCCCUCCGUUACUUCUUUUUGGUAGACCCCGAGACUACCGGCGACCCCCAGCUCGACUACGGUGUUGACGACCCUUCCUUCUUGCCAAAGCAACUAGGCAAGCCCCCCUUGAACACCAGAUAUCUGAUACGUCUCCAACGUAUCUAUAAUUUUUGAUGGUUCCAUGCUAUUAUAUUAUCUGUUUUGGAUGUUAAUGGGCUUUAUUUUACACUUUUAUAUUGUUUUUGGGACUAACCUAUUAAACGGAGGCCCAUCCCAAAUUGCUGUUUUUUGCCUAUUUCAGUGUUUCAUAGAAAAGGAAUAUCAAACGGAGUCCAGACAGAAUGAAACCUUCGGGAACGUGAUUUUUGGAACAAACGUGAUCCAGGGGAUUUUGAGUGGACGUCAAGAAACAAUCGAGGAGGCCAUGAGGCAGGGGGCGCGCCUACCCCCUGGGCACGCCCUCCACCCUCGUGGGCCCCUCGUUGCUCCACCGACCUACUUCUUCCUCCUAUAUAUAUAUAUAUAUAUAUAUAUAUAUAUAUAUAUAUAUACCCCGAGAACAUCCAGGAGCACCACGAAACCCUAUUUCCACCGCCGCAACCUUCUAUACCCAAGAGAUCCCAUCCUGGGGCCUUUUCCGGAGCUCCGCCGGAGGGGUCAUUGAUCACGGAGGGCCUCUACAUCAACUCCAUGGCCCCUCCGAUGAUGUGUGAGUCAUUUACCUCAGACCUUCGGGUCCAUAGCUAGUAGCUAGAUGGCUUCUUCUCUCUCUUUGGAUCUCAAUACAAAGUUCUCCUCGAUUCUCUUGGAGAUCUAUUCGAUGUAGUCUUCUUUUGCGGUGUGUUUGUCGAGAUCUGAUGAAUUGCGGGUUUAUGAUCAAGUCUAUCUAUGAACAAUAUUUGAAUCUUCUCUGAAUUCUUUUAUGUAUGAUUGGUUUAUCUUUGCAAGUCUCUUCGAAUUAUCAGUUUGGUUUGGCCUACUAGAUUGAUCUUUCUUGCCAUUGGAGAAGUGCUUAGCUUUGGGUUCAAUCUUGUGGUGCUCGAUCCCAGUGACAGAAAGGGAAACGACACGUUUUGUAUUGUUGCCAUCGAGGAUAAAAAGAUGGGGUUUAUAUCAUAUUGCAUGAGUUUAUCCCUCUACAUCAUGUCAUCUUGCUUAAGGCGUUACUCCAUUCUUAUGAACUUAAUACUCUAGAUGCAUGCUGGAUAGCGGUUGAUGUGUGGAGUAAUAGUAGUAGAUGCAUGCUGGAUAGCGGUUGAUGUGUGGAGUAAUAGUAGUAGAUGCAGGCAAGAGUCGGUCUACUUGUCACGGAUGUGAUGCCUAUAUACAUGAUCAUACCUAGAUAUUCUCAUAAUUAUUCGCUUUUCUAUCAAUUGCUCGAUAGUAAUUUGUUCACCCACCAUACUUAUGCUAUCUUGAGAGAAGCCAAUAGUGAAACCUAUGGCCCCCAGGUCUAUUCUCCAUCAUAUAAGUUUCCAAUCUAUUUUAUUUUGCAAUCUUUACUUUCAAUCUAUAUCAUAAAAAUACCAAAAAUAUUUAUCUUAUUAUUAUCAUCUCUAUCAGAUCUCACUCUUGUAAGUGGCCGUGAAGGGAUUGACAACCCCUUUAUCGUGUUGGUUGCGAGGUUCUUAUUUGUUUGUGUAGGUACGAGGUGACUCGUGUGUGGUCUCCUACUGGAUUGGUACCUUGGUUCUCAAAAACUGAGGGAAAUACUUACGCUGCUUUACUGCAUCACCCUUUCCUCUUCAAGGGAAAACCAACACAGUGCCCAAGAGGUAGCAAGAAGGAUUUCUGGCGCCGUUGCCGGGGAGAUCUACGCCAAGUCAAGACAUACCAAGUACCCAUCACAACUCUUAUCCUUUGCAUUACAUUAUUUGCCAUUUGCCUCUCGUUUUCCUCUCCCCCACUUCACCCUUGUCGUUUUAUUCGCUCUGUCUUUCCCGUUCGCCUCUUUCUCGCUUACGUCUUGUUGCUUGUUGCCCUCAUGGCUUUACCAAAAGGAGUUGAUCCUCACCUUACAAGGUUGGAAGAAAUCGAAAACAACGUUAGAAGUUUUAUGUCCUUGCAGUUUGAGCAUAAUAAUUUCUCUAGAAACGAGCUUAAAGAACAAAAAAGUUUUAUCGGUUUCAUGAAUAAAGAUCUCAAUGAUAUGUCUAAGGAAUUUUAUGGUUUGAAAUCUCAGCUUGCUCAUCUUGAAAAAUUAAUUGCUGAAAUCUCGGAUAAGGAGGCCACCUUAGUUAAUAAGAUGGCCGCUAAACCGCAAAGUUUUCAUGAUAAUAAGGAUGAAGAUCUAAAAGUGAUUGAUGUGUCCCCUAUUAAAUCCUUGUUUUUCAAUAUGAAUCUUGAUAAUGAUGGGACUGGAGAUGAGUCAACUUUAGUUAGAAGGCGUCCCAAUGAUUCAGAGUUUUUAGAUCUUGAUGCAAAAAUUGGUAAAAGUGGGAUUGAAGAGGUCAAAACUUUAGAUAGCAACGAACCCACUAUCUUGGAUUUCAAGGAAUUUAAUUAUUAUAAUUUCUCUUUGAUAGAUUGUAUUUCCUUGUUGCAAUCCGUGCUAAAUUCUCCUCAUGCUUAUAGUCAAAAUAAAGCUUUUACUAAACAUAUCGUUGAUGCUUUGAUGCAAUCUUACGAAGAAAAAACUUGAGUUGGAAGUUUCUAUCCCUAGAAAACUUUAUGAUGAGUGGGAACCUAAAAUUAAAAUUAAAAUUAAAGAUCGUGAAUGCUAUGCUUUGUGUGAUUUUGGUGCUAGUGUUUCCACGAUCCCAAAAACUUUGUGUGAUUUGCUAGGUUUCCAUGAAUUUGAUGAUUGUUCUAUAAACUUGCACCUUGCGGAUUCCACUAUUAAGAAACCUAUGGAAAAGAUUAAUGAUGUUCUUAUUGUUGCGAAUAGGAAUUAUGUGCCCGUAGAUUUCAUUGUUCUUGAUAUCGAUUGCAAUCCUUCAUGUCCUAUUAUUCUUGGUAGACCUUUCCUUAGAACGAUUGGUGCAAUUAUUGAUAUGAAGGAAGGGAAAUUAAAUUCCAAUUUCCGUUAAGGAAAGGCAUGGAAAACUUCCCUAGAAAGAAAAUUAAAUUACUAUAUGAAUCAAUUAUGAGAGCCACUUAUGGAUUGCCUACCAAAGAUGGCAAUACCUAGAUCUAUCUUCGCUUUUAUGCCUAGCUAGGGGCGUUAAACGAUAGCGCUUGUUGGGAGGCAAUCCAACUUUAUUUUUAUUCCUUGAUUUUUGUUACUAUUUAGUAAUAAAUAAUUUAUCUAGCCUCUGUUUUGGUUGUGUUUUUUGUGUUUAAUUAGUGUUUGUGCCAAGUAGAACCGUUGGGAAGACUUGGGGAAAGUCUUUCUGAUCUUGCUGUAAAAAACAGAAAUUUUAGCGCUCACGAGAAUUGCUGCCAUUUUUUAUUGGAGGGUGAUAUUUAGUUAAUUAUUUUUGCAUAUGAUUAAUAGAUAAAUUCCUCACGUCCAGAAAUUUACUUUAGAAUUUUUGGGGUUCCAGAAGUAUUCGAAACCUACAGAUUACUACAGACUGUUCUGUUUUUGACAGAUUCUCUUUUUCGCAUGUUGUUUGCUUAUUUUGAUGAAUCUAUGGCUAGUAAUAGAAUUUAUGAACCAUACAAAAGUUGGAAUACAGUAGGUUUAACACAAAUAUAAAUAAAGAAUGAGUUCAUUACAGUACCUUGAAGUGGUGGUUUGUUUUCUUUUAUUAACGGAGCUCACGAAGAUUUUCUUUUAAGUUUUGUGUUGUGAAGUUUUCAAGUUUUGGGUAAAGAUUUGAUGGAUUAUGGAACAAGGAGUGGCAAGAGCCUAAGCUUGGGGAUUCACAAGGCACCCCAAGGUAAAAUCCAAGGACACCAAAAAUCCUAAGCUUGGGGAUGCCCCGGAAGGCAUCCCCUCUUUCGUCUUCGUCCAUCGGUAACUUUACUUGGAGCUAUAUUUUUAUUCGCCACAUGAUAUGUGUUUUGCUUGGAGCGUAUUGUAUGAUUUGAGUCUUUAAUUUUUAGUUUACCACAAUCAUCCUUGUUGUACACAACUUUUGGGAGGGACUCACAUGAAUUGGAAUUUAUUAGAAUACUCUAUGUGAUUCACUUAUAUCUUUUGAGUUGUACAAUUUUAGCUCUAUUGCUUUGCUUAUAUCUUUUAGAGCACGGCGGCGGUUCUAUUUUAUAGAAAUAAUUGAUCUCUCAUGCUUCACUUAUAUCAUUUUGAGAGUCCUUUAGAACAGCAUGGUAAUUCACUUUGGUUAUAAAUUUUAAAUGCUAAGAGAAGUUGGAUGCUUGAUAGAUGGUUUUGAGAUAUAAAGGUGGUAAUAUUAGAGGUGUGCUAGUUGAGUAAUUGUAAAAUUGACGAAUACUUGUGUUGAAGUUGGCAAGUCCCGUAGCAUGCAUGUAUGGUAAACAUUAUGUGACAAAUUUGAAGCAUGGGGUGUUCUUUGAUUGCUUUCCUUAUGAGUGGCGGUCGGGGAUGAGCGAUGGUCUUUUCCUACCAAUCUAUCCCCUAGGAGCAUGCGCGUAGUGCUUGGUUUUGAUGACUUGUAAAUUUUUGCAAUAAGUAUGUGAGUUCUUUAUGACUAAUGUUGAGUUCAUGGAUUAUACGCACUCUCACCCUUCCAUCAUUGCUAGCCUCUUCGGUACCGUGCAUUGCCCUUUCUCACCUUGAGAGUUGGUGCAAACUUCGCCGGUGCAUCCAAACCCCGUGAUAUGUUACGCUCUAUCUGUUGGGGAAUGUAGUAAUUUCAAAAAAAAUCCUAUGCACACGCAGGAUCAUGGUGAUGCAUAGCAACGAGAGGGGAGAGUGUUGUCUACGUACCCUCGUAGACCAUUCGCGGAAGCGUUAUAUCAACGCGGUUGAUGUAGUCGUACGUCUUCACGAUCCGACCGAUCCAAGUACCGAAAGCACGGCACCUCCGAGUUCUGCACACGUUCGGCUCGGUGAUGUCCUCGCCUUCUCAAUCCAGCAAGAGGGGCAAAGUAGUAGAUGAGUUCUGGCAGCACGACGGCGUGGUGACGGUGUUGGUGAAGAACAAUCUCCGCAGGGCUUCACCUAAGCACUACAAAAACUAUGACGGAGGAUAAACUAGAGGGGACGGGGUUGCCGGCACACAACUUGGUGUUUCUUGAUGUGUCUUGGGUGCUAGCCCUAUCCCUCUAUUUAUAUGUUGAGCCUUGGGGUCGAAACUUGGAGUAAAAGCCUCCACAAAGUCGGUUUCACCUGAAAGGCAAGAGUCCUUCUUGGACUCCAGGGCCAGACGCCACGGUUCCCGGCGUCUGGACCUAGACUCCAAGGACCCUGGCGUCUGGCCCCUGGACUCCACAAAACUUCCUUUUGCGCUUUCCAAAAACCUUGUGGGCUUUCCCCUUUGGCCCAAAUAAAGUGUUCUCGUACCCAAACAUUUCGGGAAACAUCCGAAACCCCUUCCGGAGUCCAAACACUAUUAUCCCAUAUAUCAAUCUUUAUCUCCGGACCAUUCCGGAGUUCCUCGUCAUGUCCGUGAUCUUAUCCGGAACUCCGAACAACAUGCAGUCACCAACAUAUAUAACUCAUAAUACUAUAUCGUCAACGAACGUUAAGCGUGCGGGCCCUAUGGGUUCGAGAACUAUGUAGACAUGACCGAGACACCUCUCUGGUCAAUAACCAAUAGCGGAACCUGGAUGCCCAUAUUGGCUCUUACAUAUUCUACGAAGAUCUUUAUCGGUCGGACCGCAUAACAACAUACAUUGUUCCCUUUGUCAUCGGUAUGUUACUUGCCCGAGAUUCGAUCGUCGGUAUCUCAAUACCUAGUUCAAUCUCAUUACUGGCAAGUCUCUUUACUCGUUCUGUAACACAUCAUCCCGCAACCAACUCAUUAGUUGCAAUGCUUGCAAGGCUUAAGUGAUGUGUAUUACCGAGUGGGCCCAGAGAUACCUCUCCGACAAUCGGAGUGACAAAUCCUAAUCUCGAAAUACGCCAACCCAACAAGUACCUUCGGAGACACAUGUAGAGCACAUUUAUAAUCACCCAGUUACGUUGUGACGUUUGGUAGCACGCAAAGUGUUCCUCCGGUAAACAGGAGUUGCAUAAUCUCAUAGUCAUAGAAACAUGUAUAAGUCAUGAAGAAAGCAAUAACAACAAACUAAACGAUCAAGUGCUAAGCUAACAAAAUGGGUGAAGUCAAUCACAUCAUUAUCCUAAUGAUGUGACCCCGUUAAUCAAAUGACAACUCUUUGUCUAUGGUCAGGAAACAUAACCAUCUUUGACCAACGAGCUAGUCAAGUAGAGGCAUACUAGUGACAUUUUGUUUGUCUAUGUAUUCACACAUGUAUCAUGUUUCCGGUUAAUACAAUUCUAGCCUGAAUAAUAAACAUUUAUCAUGAUAUAAGGAAAUAAAUAAUAACUUUAUUAUUACCUCUAGGGCAUAUUUCCUUCAGUCUCCCACUUGCACUAGAGUCAAUAAUCUGGAUUACACAGUAAUGAUUCUAACACCCAUGGAGCCUUGGUGCUGAUCAUGUUUUGCUCGUGGAAGAGGCUUAGUCAACGGGUCUGCAACAUUCAGAUCCGUAUGUAUCUUUCAAAUCUCUAUGUAUCCCACCUGGACUUGGUCCCGGAUGGAGUUGAAGCGUCUCUUGAUGUGCUUGGUUCUCUUGUGAAAUCUGGAUUCCUUUGCCUAAGCAAUUGCACCAGUAUUGUCACAAAAGAUUUUUCAUUGGACCCGAUGCACUAGGUAUGACACCUAGAUCGGAUAUGAACUCCUUCAUCCAGACUCCUUCAUUUGCUGCUUCUAAAGCAGCUAUAUACUCCGCUUCACAUGUAGAUCCCGCUACGACGCUUUGUUUAGAACUGCACCAACUGACAGCUCCACCGUUUAAUAAAAACAUGUAUCCGGUUUGCGAUUUAGAAUCAUCCGGAUCAGUGUCAAAGCUUGCAUCGACGUAACCAUUUACGAUGAGCUCUUUGUCACCUCCAUAAACGAGAAACAUAUCCUUCAUCCUUUUCAGGUAUUUUAGGAUGUUCUUGACCGCUGUCCAGUAAUCCACUCCUAGAUUACUUUGGUACCUCCCUGCUAAACUAAUAGCAAGGCACACAUCAGGUCUGGUACACAGCAUUGCAUACAUGAUAGAGCCCAUGGCUGAAGCAUAGGGAACAUCUUUCAUUUUCUCUCUAUCUUCUGCAGUGGUCGGGCAUUGAGUCUUACUCAACUUCACACCUUGUAACACAGGCAAGAACCCUUUCUUUGCUUGAUCCAUUUUGAACUUCUUCAAAACUUUGUCAAGGUAUGUGCUUUGUGAAAGUCCAAUUAAGAGUCUUGAUCUAUCUCUAUAGAUCUUGAUGCCCAAUAUAUAAGCAGCUUCACCGAGGUCUUUCAUUGAAAAACUUUUAUUCAAAUAUCCUUUUAUGCUAUCCAGAAAUUCUAUAUCAUUUCCAAUCAACAAUAUGUCAUCCACAUAUAAAAUUAGAAAUGCUACAGAGCUCCCACUCACUUUCUUGUAAAUACAGGCUUCUCCAAAAGUCUGUAUAAAACCAUAUGCUUUGAUCACAGUAUCAAAAUGUUUAUUCCAACUCCGAGAGGCUUGUACCAGUCCAUAAAUGGAUCACUGGAGCUUGCACACUUUGUUAGCUCCCUUUGGAUCAACAAAACCUUCCGGUUGCAUCAUAUACAAUUCUUCUUCUAGAAAUCCAUUUAGGAAUGCAUUUUUGACAUCCAUUUGCCAAAUUUCAUAAUCAUAAAAUGCAGCAAUUGCUAACAUGAUUCAGACAGACUUUAGCAUCGUUACAGGGGAGAAGGUCUCAUCAUAGUCAAUCCCUUGAACUUGUCGAAACCUUUUGCAACAAGUCGAGCUUUAUAGACAGUAACAUUACCAUCAGCGUCAGUCUUCUUCUUGAAGAUCCAUUUAUUCCCGAUGGCUUGCCGAUCAACGGGCAAGUCAACCAAAGUCCACACUUUGUUCUCAUACAUGGAUCCCAUCUCAGGUUUCAUGGCUUCAAGCCAUUUUGCGGAAUCUGGGCUCACCGUUGCUUCUUCAUAGUUCGUAGGUUCAUCAUGGUCUAGCAACAUAACCUCCAUAACAGGAUUACCGUACCACUCUGGUGCGGAUCUCACUCUGGUUGACCUACGAGGUUCAGUAACAACUUGAUCUGAAGUUUCAUGAUCAUCAUCAUUAACUUCCUCACUAAUUGGUGUAGGUGUCACAGGAACCUGUUUCUGUGAUGAACUACUUUCCAAUAAGGGAGCAGGUAUAGUUACCUCAUCAAGUUCUACUUUCCUCCCACUCACUUCUUUCGAGAGAAACUCCUUCUCUAGAAAGAUUCCUAAUUUAGCAACAAAAGUCUUGCCUUCGGAUCUGUGAUAGAAGGUGUACCCAACAGUCUCUUUUGGGUGUCCUAUGAAGACACAUUUCUCUGAUUUGGGUUCGAGCUUAUCAGGUUGAAGCUUUUUCACAUAAGCAUCGCAACCCCAAACUUUCAGAAACGACAACUUUGGUUUCUUGCCAAACCAUAGUUCAUAAGGCGUCGUCUCAACGGAUUUUGAUGGUGCCCUAUUUAACAUGAAUGCAGCUGUCUCUAGAGCAUAACCCCAAAAUGAUAGCGGUAAAUCAGUAAGAGACAUCAUAGAUUGCACCAUAUCUAGUAAAGUAUGAUUACGACGUUCGGACACACCAUUACGUUGUGGUGUUCCGGGUGGCGUCAGUUGCGAAACUAUUCCGCAUUGUUUCAAAUGAAGACCAAACUCGUAACUCAAAUAUUCUCAUCCAUGAUCAGAUCAUAGAAACUUUAUUUUCUUGUUACAAUGAUUUUCAACUUCACUCUGAAAUUCUUUGAACUUUUCAAAUGUUUCAGACUUAUGUUUCGUUAAGUAGAUAUACCCAUAUCUGCUUAAAUCAUCUAUGAAGGUGAGAAAAUAACAAUACCCGUCGCGAGCCUCAAUAUUCAUCGGACCACACACAUUUGUAUGUAUGAUUUCCAACAAAUCUGUUGCUCGCUCCAUAGUUUCGGAGAAUGGCGUUUUAGUCAUCUUGCCCAUGAGGCACGGUUCGCAAGUACCAAGUGAUUCAUAACCAAGUGGUUCCAAAAGUCCAUCAGUAUGGAAUUUCUUCAUGCGCUUUAUACCGAUAUGACCUAAACGCUAGUGCCACAAAUAAGUUGCACUAUCAUUAUCAACUCUGCAUCUUUUGGCUUCAAUAUUAUGAAUAUGUGUAUCACUACUAUCGAGAUUUAAUAAGAAUAGACCACUCUUCAAGGGUGCAUGACCAUAAAAGAUAUUACUCAUAUAAAUAGAACAACCAUUAUUCUCUGAUUUAAAUGAAUAACCAUCUCGCAUCAAACAAGAUCCAGAUAUAAUGUUCAUGCUCAACGCCGGCACCAAAUAACAAUUAUUCAGGUCUAAAACUAAUCCCGAAGGUAGAUGUAGAGGUAGUCUGCCGACUGCGACCACAUCGACUUUGGAACCAUUUCCCACACGCAUCGUCACCUCGUCCUUAGCUAGUCUUCGCUUAAUCCGUAGCUCCUAUUUCGAGUUGAAAAUAUUAGCAACAUAACCAGUAUCAAAUAACCAGGUGCUACUGCGAGCAUUAGUAAGGUACACAUCAAUAACAUGUAUAUCACAUAUACCUUUGUUCACCUUGCCAUCCUUCUUAUCCGCCAAAUACUUGGGGCAGUUCCGCUUCCAGUGACCAGUCUACUUGCAGUAGAAGCACUCAGUCUCAGGCUUAGGUCCAGACUUGGGUUUCUUCUCUUGAGCAACAACUUGUUUGCCGUUCUUUUUGAAGUUUCCCUUCUUCUUCCCUUUGCCCUUUUUCUUGAAACUGGUGGUCUUAUUGACCAUCAACACUUGAUGCUCCUUCUUGAUUUGUACCUCCGCAUCCUUUAGCAUUGCGAAGAGCUCGGGAUUCGUCUUAUCCAUCCCUUGCAUAUUAUAGUUCAUCACGAAGCUCUUGUAGCUUGGUGGCAGUGAUUGAAGAAUUCUGUCAAUGACACUAUCACCCGGAAGAUUAACUCCCAGUUGAAUCAAGUGAUUGCAGUACCCAGACAUUCUGAGUAUAUGCUCACUGACAGAACUAUUCUCCUCCAUCUUGCAGCUAUAGAACUUAUAUGAGACUUCAUAUCUCUCAAUCCAGGCAUUUGCUUGAAAUAUUAACUUCAACUCCUGGAACAUCUCAUAUGCUCCAUGAUGUUCAAAACAUCGUUGAAGUCCCGGUUCUAAGCCGUAAAGCAUGGCACACUGAACUAUCGAGUAGUCAUCAACACGUGAUUGCCAGGCAUUCACAAUGUCUGCAGUUGCUGAUGUAGGUGGUACACCUAGCGGUGCUUCCAGGACGUAAUUCUUCUGUGCAGCAAUGAGGAUAAUCCUCAAGUUACAGACCUAGUCCGUGUAAUUGCUACCAUCAUCUUUCAAAUUUGCUUUCUCAAGGAACGCAUUAAAAUUUAACGAAACAACAACACGAGCCAUCUAUCUAUAAUCAACAUAGACAAGCUAGAAACUAUCAGGUACUAAGUUCAUGAUAAAUUUAAGUUCAAUUAAUCAUAUUACUUAAGAAGUCCCACUUAGAUAGACACCCCUCUAAUCUUCCAAGUGAUCACGUGAUCCAAAUCAAUUAAACCAUGUCCGAUCAUCACGUGAGAUGGAGUAGUUUCAAUGGUGAACAUCACUAUGUUGAUCAUAUCUACUAUAUGAUUCACGCUCGACCUUUCGGUCUCCGUGUAUCUGUUAUAUGCUAGGCUCGUCAAGUUUAACCUGAGUAUUCCGCGUGUGCAACUGUUUUGCACCCGUUGUAUUUGAACGUAGAGCCUAUCACACCCGACCAUCACGUGGUGUCUCAGCACGAAGAACUUUCGCAACAGUGCAUACUCAAGGAGAACACUUAUAUCUUGAUAAUUUAGUGAGAGAUCAUCUUAUAAUGCUACCGUCAAUCAAAGCAAGAUAAGAUGCAUAAAAGAUAAACAUCACAUGCAAUCAAUAUAAGUGAUAUGACAUGGCUAUCAUCUUCUUGUGCUUGUGAUCUCCAUCUCCGAAGCACCAUCAUGAUCACCAUCGUCACCGGCGUGACACCUUGAUCUCCAUCGUAGCAUCGUUGUCGUCUCGCCAACUUAUGCUUCUAUGACUAUCGCUACCGCUUAGUGAUAAAGUAAAGCAUUACAGGGCGUUUGCAUUGCAUACAAUAAAGCGACAACCAUAUGGCUCCUGCCAGUUGCCGAUAACUCGGUUAAAAACAUGAUCAUCUCAUACAAUAAAAUAUAGCAUCAUGCCUUGGCUAUAUCAUAUCACAUCAUGCCCUGCAAAAAUAAGUUAGACGUCCUCUACUUUUUCAAGUUUUACGUGGCUGCUACGGGUUGAGCAAGAACCGUUCUUACCUAUGCAUCAAAACCACAAUGAUAGUUCGUCAAGUUAGUGCAGUUUUAACCUUCUCAAGGACCGGGCAUAGCCACACUCAGUUCAACUAAAGCUGGAGAAACUGACACCCUCCGGCCACCUAUGUGCAAAGCACGUCGGUAGAACCAGUCUCGCGUAACCGUACGCGUAAUGUCGGUCCGGGCCGCUUCAUCCAACAAUACCGCCGAACCAAAGUAUGACAUGGUGGUAAGCAGAAUGACUUGUAUCGCCCACAACGCACUUGUGUUCUACUCGUGCAUAUAACAUCUACGCAUAAAACCAGGCUCGGAUGCCACUAUUGGGGAACAUAGUAAUUUCAAAAAAAUUCCUACGCACAUGCAGGUUCAUGGUGAUGCAUAGCAACGAGAGGGGAGAGUGUUAUCUACGUACCCUCGUAGACCAUUCGCGGAAGCGUUAUAUCAACGUGGUUGAUGUAGUCUUACGUCUUCACGAUCCGACUGAUCCAAGUACCGAAAGCAUGGCACCUCCGAGUUCUGCACACGUUUGGGUCGGUGACGUCCUCGCCUUCUCGAUCCAGCAAGAGGGGCGAAGUAGUAGAUGAGUUCUGGCAGCACGAUGGCGUGGUGAUGGUGUUGGUGAAGAACAAUCUCCGCAGGGCUUCGCCUAAGCACUACGAAAACUAUGAUGGAGGAUAAACUAGAGGGGACGGGGUUGCCAGCACACGGCUUGGUGUUUCUUGAUGUGUCUUGGGUGCUAGCCCUACCCCUCUAUUUAUAUGUUGAGCCUUGGGGUCGGAACUUGGAGUAAAAGCCUCCACAAAGUCGGUUUCACCUGAAAGGCAAGAGUCCUUCUCGGACUCCAGGGCCAGACGCCAGGGACCCUGGCGUCUGGCCCCUGGAGUCCGCAAAACUUCCUUUUCCGUUUUCCAAAAACCUUGUGGGCUUUCCCCUUUGGCCCAAAUAAAGUGUUCUCGUACCCAAACAUUUCGGGAAACAUCCGGAACCCCUUCCGGAGUCCAAACACUAUUAUCCCAUAUAUCAAUCUUUAUCUCCGGACCAUUCCGGAGUUCCUCGUCAUGUCCGCGAUCUUAUCCGGAACUCCGAACAACAUUCCGUCACCAACAUAUAUAACUCAUAAUACUAUACCGUCAGCGAAUGUUAAGCGUGCGGACCCUACGGGUUCGAGAACUAUGUAGACAUGACCGAGACACCUCUUUGGUUAAUAACCAAUAGCGGAACCUGGAUGCCCAUAUUGGCUCCUACAUAUUCUACGAAGAUCUUUAUCGGUCGGACCGCAUAACAACAUACGUUGUUCCCUUUGUCAUCGGUAUGUUACUUGCCCGAGAUUCGAUUGUCGGUAUCUCAAUACCUAGUUCAAUCUCAUUACCGGCAAGUCUCUUUACUCGUUCCGUAACACAUCAUCCCGCAACCAACUCAUUAGUUGCAAUGCUUGCAAGGCUUAAGUGAUGUGUAUUACCGAGUGGGCCCAGAGAUACCUCUCCGACAAUCGGAGUGACAAAUCCUAAUCUCGAAAUACGCCAACCCAACAAGUACCUUCAGAGACACCUGUAGAGCACCUUUUUAAUCACCCAGUUACGUUGUGAUGUUUGGUAGCACACAAAGUGUUCCUCCGGUAAACAGGAGUUGCAUAUUCUCAUAGUCAUAGGAACAUGUAUAAGUCAUGAAGAAAGCAAUAGCAACAAACUAAACAAUCAAGUGCUAAGCUAAUGAAAUGGGCCAAGUCAAUCACAUCAUUAUCCUAAUGAUGUGACCCCGUUAAUCAAAUGACAACUCUUUGUCUAUGGUCAGGAAACAUAACCAUCUUUGACCAACGAGCUAGUCAAGUAGAGGCAUACUAGUGACAUUCUGUUUGUCUAUGCAUUCACACAUGUAUCAUGUUUCCGGUUAAUAUAAUUCUAGCAUGAAUAAUAAACAUUUAUCAUGAUAUAAGGAAAUAAAUAAUAACUUUAUUAUUGCCUCUAGGGCAUAUUUCCUUCACUAUCACACAUAAGCCUCCUUAUAUCUUCCUCAAAACAGCCACCAUACCUACCUAUUAUGGCAUUUCCAUAGCCAUUCCGAGAAAUAAUGCCAUGCAACUUUCCACCGUUCCAUUUAUUAUGACAUGUAUCAUCAUUGUCAUAUUGCUUUGCAUGAUCAUGUAGUUGACAUCGUAUUUGUGGCAAAUCCACUGUUCAUAAUUUUUUCAUACAUGUCACUCUUGAUUCAUUGCAAUCCUGGUACACCGCCGGAGGCAUUCACAUAGAGUCAUAUUUUGUUCUAAGUAUCGAGUUGUAAUUCUUGAGUUGUAAGAAAAUAAAAGUGUGAUGAUCAUCAUUAGAACAUUGUCCCAUGUGAGGAAAGGAUGCUGGAGACUAUGAUUCCCCCACAAGUCGGGAUGAGACUCCGGACGAAAAAAGGAAAAGAAAAGAGGCCAAAAGAAAAAAAAAAGGAAAAAAAGCCCAAAUAAAAAAAGAAAAAAAUAAAUGAGAGAAAAAGAGAGAAGGGACAAUGUUACUAUCCUUUUUCCACACUUGUGCUUCAAAGUACACCAUGAUCUUCAUGAUAGAGAGUCUCUUGUUUUGUCACUUUCAUAUACUAGUGGGAAUUUUUCAUUAUAGAACUUGGCUUGUAUAUUCCAAUGACGGGCUUCCUCAAAUGCCCUAGGUCUUCGUGAGCAAGCGAGUUGGAUGCACACCCACUUAGUUUCUUUGAUGAGCUUUCAUAUAUUUAUAGCUCUAGUGCAUCUGUUGCAUGGCAAUCCCUACUCCUUGCAUUGACAUCAAUCGGUGGGCAUCUCCAUAGCCCAUUGAUUAGCCGCGUCAAUGUGAGACUUUCUUCCUUUUUGUCUUCUCACACAACCUCAAUCAUCAUAUUCUAUUCCACCCAUAGUGCUAUGUCCAUGGCUCGCGCUCAUAUAUUGCGUAAAAGUUGAAAGAGUUUGAAAAAGGCUAAGUAUGAAACAAUUGCUUGGCUUGUCAUCGGGGUUGUGCAUGAUGAGAGCAUUUUGUGUGACGAAAAUGAAGCAUGGCCAAACUAUAUGACUUUGUAGGGUUAAGUUUUCUCUGGCUAUGGUAUUUUUAUAAGACAUAAUUGCUUGACUAGCAUACUUGGAGUAUUACUAUUUUUAUGUCAACAAUAAACUUUUAUCAUGAAUCUUUCAGAUCUGAACAUUCAUGCCACAAUAUAGAAAAAUACAUUGAAGAAUAUUCUUGAAAGCAUUCCACAUCAAAAAUUCUGUUUUUAUCAUUUACCUACUCGAGGACGAGCAGGAAUUAAGCUUGGCGAUGCUUGAUACGUCUCCAACGUAUCUAUAAUUUUUGAUUGUUCCAUGCUAUUAUAUUAUCUGUUUUGGAUGUUAAUGGGAUUUAUUUUACACUUUUAUAUUAUUUUUGGGACUAACCUAUUAACCGGAGGCCCAGCCCAAAUUGCUGUUUUUUUUGCAUAUUUCAGUGUUUCGUAGAAAAGGAAUAUCAAACGGAGUCCAAACGGAAUGAAACCUUCGUGAACAUGAUUUUUGGAACAAACGUGAUCCAGGGGAUUUGGAGUGGACGUCAAGAAACAAUCGAGGAGGCCACGAGGCAGGGGGCACGCCUACCCCCCCCUCCAGGCGCGCCCUCCACCCUCGUGGGCCCCUCGUUACUCCACCGACCUACUUAUUUCUCCUAUAUCAAGAGAUAAGAGAAGGAUGUUCCUACAAGGCUCCACAGAGAUCAGCGAUUCUGAGCCGUUGGAUCGGUUCCCUUGAUGCGUUUUUGUCCGUUGGAUCGAGAGGUGGGAGGAUCUGGGCUAUCGAAUUUGGAAGAAACACUGCUGAAAUGAAUAGUAAUGGCAACAGAAUGUAAAUACCAUGCCCCCACCAGGGUAUUUUGGUCAUUUCGCAUGGUGGGGGUAUAAAAGGGGCCACGCCAUGGAGAUGACCUAGCCGCCUCUCUCUCCCGCACUCGCGCAGCCGCCUCCCUCCCUCCCUCCCACGCAGCCGACUCCCUCCUCCCUCGCUCGCGCCUUCGCCUCGUGCCUCCACCGCGCCCAGCUCCUCCCGCCUCGCCGCCGCCUCCCCUCCUCUCCCGUGCGCCUCCUCCCUCCCACCCGCCUCCCUGCCCCGCCGCCGUCCAGUUCCAGCCCCUGCCCCGUCGAGCGGCCCAUGGCGGUGCCGGAUCCGGUGUUGGGGUCGAGGCGCGCUGCCCGUGCGUGGGGAGAGGCACCCGGACCUCGCGUGGCCCAGAGCUAUACGACGGCAUAGGGCGUGGGUCGUCUCCCUUAUCCUGCGUCAUCGCCUGCCUCUUCUCCUCCCCUCCUUUCGUUUCGUUGCUCAAUCCUCUCUGUAGUCAUGCUCCCUGGUCCAUGAGUCGUCGUUGGGUUGGUCGCCGAGGGGCUCCGAUGGCGGCGCGCUGGGGUGACGUCGGCUAAGGUGAUUCUCCUCUCGGUUCUUUCCUCUUUUCUGUGUUCGAAUUGUCAUGGCUGGCCAGUUUUGGAUCUUGGGUGUCAAUUACUUGCAGGUCCGUUGUUCUCCUCCUCACUUGGCCUAGAUUUGCUGUGCCGCUGGUCGAUCUAUGAUGGUCUUCGCGUUUUCAUCAGGAAACUACAGGUCGACCUCUCGUUUUCCUUAUCUCUGUUUUUAUGUUUCUUGUUUGUCUGUGUGUAUUGCUCGGUAUGGUGUGUCCGUCAAUCAUAUGGGUGUGGAUGGUGGCAAAUCAGUGAAUUUGUUUGGUUUCUUCUUGUAUUGGUUGGGUCCUCUGGUUGGAUUUUGGUAGUUCACAUUUGUCUCUUUAUGUUGAUGGAGACGAAUGGUGGUGUCCUCCGGUUAGAUUUUAGUAGUUCUCCAUUGUGCCUCCUUUGUUUGCUUGUGCGUGACAGGUGUUUUUUUCUUAGUUGUCUAGAUCUUUCUAGGGCCGGCAUUCUCUCUCUACGAUUGUAGUGAGAUUUUUAGAAGAGGUCGAUGUACCAGGGUAUGCGCCUUUUGGACUGGUUUGGUGACAUUAUUCUUUGUCAGGUGACGUGUGAAAAAAAUAAAGGGUUUGGUCUGUUAAUUGGCCUCUGUCGAUUGAUUUGGUCUGCCUAAGUUAUUAUGGUUGGGUAUCCCUCUGCUUGUUAUAAUGGUCUCAGUGCUGGAUGUUUGCCUUGUCUUAAUGGGUGGAUGUUUGGUUAGGAAGAGAGUGUUGGAUUUGAGCUCCGCCGGGCUGUUAAGAUGUUGUCCAUGAUGGUUGGCAACUUGGCAUGGUUGGUU
This 85874-nucleotide long non-coding RNA is filed under the name Triticum aestivum (bread wheat). RNAcentral describes it as "long non-coding RNA (TAES_LNC025483)". Lineage: Eukaryota; Viridiplantae; Streptophyta; Magnoliopsida; Poales; Poaceae. The record is from RNAcentral.